UAAAUUAAAUAUCUUGAUAUUUUCUAAUAUUCAUCUUUGAAUUAGUAAAUAUGAACUUUUCAGGAUUAAAUGCCUUCAAAGAACUAUGAGUAAUUGCAUAAUUUCAAAAAAAGUUUGAGCUCGAUGCUUAACUGAAAAAGGUUCGAAGUUAAUGUAAUUUUUCAUCUUUGUUUUCUAAAGUUUGAGUGGCUACGUAUACUCAAGGCAGAGUUCAAGGCUGCUAGCAUAAUUUUCUGAUGCAAGAACAAAGAGCAGGUUCAUUGACAGGAUAUUCAAUUUCUCUUAGGACAAGACAUUACAGAAUAAGUUUAGUCAAUUUUUGGUGAUGUAAGCUUCAUGUCUUUGUUGAGUGAAACUUGAGUCUCUCCCUCUUCAUUAUCCUGCAAUAAGUAUAUGAAAAUUAGUUAUGGUAAUAUUUUUGUUAAUUAUUCAUUUAUUUACUUUUGUUUUACAUGUGUAUCUAAAGUCUCCUGAGUUAUUGUUGAGCUUACACCAAUUUUUUUUUUACUUUAAAAGGAUAUAUCCAAAGAAGAAAAAAAAUAGAAUAGACAUGUUGUCAUGAUUUGUUUUACAAUAGAAGAAUGGAAGCUUUUGGUUAUAAAAAUUGUUUUCCACUUUUGUUAGAAAUUAAUUGACUAGAUUGGUGGAUUAUACUGUAGAUCUAUAUAGUUUAAAAAAUGGAUUGCACCAACAUGUUAUGUCUUUUUGUUUCUUUGUUUUUUACUUUUUAUAUUGUUUUGGGAUCAAUUGGGUUUCUUUCUUAAUUAACUAAUGGAUGAAAAGGGAGGGAGGAGAAAAGUUGUGUUCCAUACAUAUAACUUCUCUUACAAAUUUUAACCACUAAUUUUGCAUGGUUUUCUUUUAGAGUAAACUUUUAAUUGCCCCGUUGUGGUGUAGUGCAUUUUUAUUUUACCAUCCUGUGCUUCAAAAGGUUGCACUUUGCCCUCCUAUGAUUCAGUUUUUAGUUUACAAAAAAAAUUUAUUUCAAAUAAGAUGAUAAAGUAUAAAUUUUUCAAAAGCUAAGGGGUGGCAAAAAAUAAAAAUGUCUUAAACCACAUAGUAGUUAGGUGUGACUUUUAAACCACGGAUGAGUGAAGAAUAAGUGAAAUUACGGAGGACGUCCAACUUUUUUAACUCCUAGGGGUCAAAGUGAAAAUAUGCUAUUCCGUUAGUAAGGAUAGAAUUUUUUUAUUUUAUUAUUAUUUUUUUUUACAGUAGCUUAAUAAGAGAGAAAAAAAUAAAAAUUAUUAUUUUACUUCAAUAAUAGCUACCCGCCGCAACGCGCGGGUAUCUGCACUAGUAUUAAUAUAUAUCAUGUGCAUGUAAGAAUUUUUAUUUUUUUCCAAUUAAUUUUAACAAGGUAAAGACAUCUUCGCCUUUUCGGCAAUUUGAAAUAAGUUUUUCAAUUUUAACUUUUUAGUUAAAAACAUUAUUUAUCGAACAUUUUUCAAAACUAUUAAAUUUGAUUAAUUUUUAAAUAAAGCUGUUAGAAUAAUAUAACUAAUAAAAAAUUAAGAAAAAAAUUAAUAAAAAAAUUAUUUUUUAAUAUACAUAAUAUUAUUUUAUAAUUUUUUUAUUUUGUUAUAAUUUUUUAAUUUUAAAAAUUUAAUAAUUAUAUAUUUUAAUUAACUAUUCGCUGCCAAGCAGAGCUGUACUAGUAUUUGAUUAUUCUUUAUGCAUAAAUAAAUAGUUUUAAAAAUCUAAAUUGGAAAAAAGAAAUAUGAUGUAUGUGUAUUUCUCAUAAUCCAUCUAUGGUGUAUCGAGCGCAUCCAAAGUCUAUAUUCACACGUGGCAGCAUACGAUUCGAUCACAUCUUAAGCAAUGUUUGCGGCAAAUGCCGAGAAUUCCAUGGAAAAGUUUAAGUCGGUUAGUACAUUUUAUUAUUUCUUUCAAAAAACAACAUUGAUUUUGCUUGAACCUAGUCCAUCACGUAACAUGUGAACCAUCAAAUAAUAUUUUUUUAAUAAGUAUUUUUCAGGAAUCACUCUUAUUUCUUAACUUCCUUAAUGUUUGAUUAUUUCUUAUGCAUAAAAAUAUAGUUGGAAAGAAGAAAUAUGAUUAAUAAAUAUAUAUUUUAUAAUCGGUCUACGAUGCACCAAGCGUAUUUAAAGUUUCUAUGCACAUAUGGCAGUACUUAUUUCGCUGCAUCAUGUUAUAAGUAAUAAGCUUUUAUAUAUAUAUAUAUACAUAUAUUUAAAAAUAAAAAUAUUUUUUUAUAAUUAUAAUGAAACAUAUAUAACUCUUAAAAAAAAUAUGUGAUUAAUUUGUAACACGACGUCACCGGUAUAUCCGGUGCAAUCUAGAAUUUUUCCUAGGCCACAGCCCAUAAGACAUUGCCGUGUAGGUCAAGUUAAUUAAUAAUUAAUAAAUUAAAUUAAAUAAAUAGAUUGGGUUAGCGCCAUCCUCUAGAGCUCAACACCGCGAUCGUCUCGGUCCUUCGCCACCCUCUCCUCGCUCUCCCUCUCUCUCUCGUCUCCCCUUAUCUCCUCCCAAACCCUAGCGCGAAGACGCGGUGAUCUCCGCCGCUGUCGCGAUCUCCGCACUCGCCGUCGACGGUGCGCGAAGACGCUUCGAAACCCUAGCGCCUUCGCGAUCCCGCGAUCUCCGUCGUCGUGCGGCCGCCGACGCAGUCUCAGGCGGGGAGGCUCCAAAUCCCUUACACUUCGCCGUUGUGUGAUUAUCAGGUAAACAACUUCGUGUUUCUCCCUAGUUUCUCUCUCUCUCUCUCUUUUUUUUCUCAGUGCAAAUCGAGCUCUUUUUCUCAAGGAACUGGUGAUUGGAUCGCUCUAAAAGUGGGAUUGGGAGAUUUUUGCCGAGCCUUUUUGAUCUGGAUAUGUGUUAUUUUGCGUCAUCUUUUGGGGUUUUUUUUUGUUUUCUCAAUUAUUGUGGUUGAUGGGAAUUUGGUGAGCUAAGUUGGGUUUGAUGCGUUUUAUUUGUGCUUAUUUUUGGGAAGUAAAUGGAUUUUUUGGUGGGGUUUUAGCAAAACCCAGAUGCCAGUUUUUUGCUAAAUGAUGAUCCACUUCAAGGGGGAUUUUCGGUGAGUGAUUUGUGAUCACUGAUUAAAAAAGAAAAAGAAAAGAAAAUCUUUUUUAAGAGAUAGUAAUUGGAGGAUGAUGGUGGACUAAUCCUUUACUAAUCCUAUACUAAUCCAUAUUCUCUUCCAUACCACGAAGAUAGAGAUAGAAUUAAUUUAUCCAAUCCUUUACUAAUCCUAUAUUGCGCUAAAUGCAAGACUGGAAUUGUGUGUAUAUAUAUAUAUACACACACAAAAUCCAAUCCUGUUCAAUCCUGUUCUUGUUAUCCUAUCCAAUCCAAUCCAAUCCCACACCCCAAAAAUUGCCCAUAUAGGAAAAGGAUUACGACUCAAUGGAUGGUAGGUUUGAAAUAGGUGACGGGAGAAGAAGUCGAAAUGCCUCUUAUGAAAAUGUACAAAUGCAUCUGGUGUAGGCAAUAAUUUGCCUUCUAAUGAUAAUAUGUACAAGGACUCAACUGAAACUUUUUUAAGAAUUUAGGGAUAGCUGACAUCGAACUUGAAAGGUUGAGGACCAAAUGAAACUUGGCAGGAAGUUUGGGGACUAAGUGUAAUUUACCCAACAAUAAACACAACUGGUAGGACUAUCCAGCAUUUUAGGUUAUUCUAAUUUCUAUGUAACUGUAUUUAUAACUUUACAUAUAUGUUUUAAGGAUUAGAAGCUUAUUACGCAAUUAGAUCUACGAUAGCUAAGUACUUGGAAACGCAUUUGGAAUGCUAGCAAUCUUUUAAUGUAACAAAGAGACUUUAUUAUACAAGAGGUACUCUAUGUUUAAGCAAGACCUCUUUAUUCUGUGUAUAACAAUAAAAAGUAACAACAUUGCUCGCUAAACUACAUUUUCUUAUUUAUAUCAUUAUUAUGAUACACUAGGAAGAGAUGAAAACGUCAGUUUACUAGUUAAAUUGAUAUUUCCAAGACAAGAUGAUAUAAUGGCAGGUUAAAUUUCUAAUUAAUCGGUUAUUAUGAAAUGAGUCCUUUGAGGUCCUUUCAAUGAACUUUUUGUUUGUAUUUUGUUAUGCUUGAUCUCAUUUGAUUUGAGGGUCCAUUUUGAUUGAGGAGUCCUUGCCUAAUGUUGUUGUAUUUUCAUCUAGGCAACUUUGCAAGGUACUUUGCUCAUCAUGUAUGCUACUCAAUGCUCGACCGUCGGAAGUCUUGGAAUAGAUGUUCCACAUCAAGGGGGAAUUUUGGUGAGUGAUUUGUGAUCACUGAUUAAAAAAGAAAAAGAAAAAAUCUUUUUUAAGAGAUAGUAAUUGGAGGAUGAUUGUAGACUAAUCCUUUACUAAUCCUAUACUAAUCCAUAUUCUCUUCCAGAGAUAGAAUUAAUUUAUCCAAUCCUUUACUAAUCCUAUAUUGCACUAAAUGCAAGACUGGAAUUGUGUGUGUGUGUGUAUAUAUAUAUAUAUAUAUAUAUCCAAUCCAAUCGAAUCCUGUUCAAUCCUGUUCUUGUUAUCCUAUCCAAUCCAAUCCCACACCCCAAAAAUUGCCCGUAUAGAAAAAGAUUACGACUCAAUGGAUGGUUGGUUUGAAAUAGGUGACGGGAGAAGAAGUCGAAAUGCCUCUUAAAAAAAUGAAGAUGUACAAAUGCGUCUGGUGUAGGCAAUAAUUUGCCUUCUAAUGAUAAUAUGUACAAGGACUCAAUUGAAACUCUUUUAAAAAUUUAGGGAUCGCUGACAUCGAACUUGAAAGGUUGAGGGCCAAAAUGAAACUUGGCAGGAAGUUUGGGGACUAGUGUUAUUUACCCAACAAUAAACACAACUGGUAGGACUAUCGAGCAUUUUAGGUUAUUCUAAAUUCUAUCUAACUGUAUUUAUAAGUUUACAUAUAUGUUUUAAGGAUUAGAAGCUCCUUUAUUCUGUGUAUAACAAUAAAAAGUAACAACAUUGCUUGCUAAACUACAUUUUCUUAUUUAUAUCAUUAUUAUGAUACACUAGGGAGAGAUGAAUACGUCAGUUUACUAGUUAAAUUGAUAUUCCAAGACAAGAUGAUAUAAUGGAAGGUUAAAUUUCUAAUUAAUCGGUUAUUAUUAAAGGAGUCCUUUUGAGGUCCUUUCAAUGACCUUUUUGUUUGUAUUUUGUUAUGCUUGAUCUCAUUUGACUUGAGGGUCCAUUUUGAUUGAGGAGUUCUUGCCUAAUGUUGUUGUAUUUUCAUCUAGGCAACUUUGCAAGGUACUUUGCUCGUCAUGUAUGCUGCUCAUCGCUCGACCGUCGGACAUCUUAGAAUAAAUCUUCCACCUCGCCGUGUGAAUCGUAGGCCGCCUCCAGUAUAUAUACCUGUGCGUAAUUCAACAGAACCUGUCAAAUUUAGUGGUCUAUGUGCAUCUCACCGAGAGAUAAAAGUUUCAUCAGUGAGAGGUAUUUUUUUUGGGCAUAGAAUGUAUUUCUUCAUGUGAUAUACCUAUGUUUCAUUUCAUGUUUUGCCUACUUUGGAACUCGAUUUACUUUUGUUAAUUAUAUCUAUUCACUCAUAUGGAAUGGUUGGGAAUGAGAAAUUUUAAUACAUCAUUAAGAGAUAUUUUCCUCUUAGGCUUUGAUUGACAAUGCAAUAAUUGGUGUACUUGCUGAUAUAUCUAACAUUAUUUGCAUGAUAGAAUUAAUGGUUAAUUUUCAUUUACCUUAGUGCUGUUGAGACAUUCAGUGGAAAAGUGUCUUUACCAAUAAAACAGUCUUCUGCUCAGGGUUUGCUAAUAACCAAUUAGAAUAGAAUCUUGCCUUGAGGUAAAUGUUUUGAAGAGAAAUUCUUAGUCAUGAGCCCUGCUCCCUAUAUGAUAUGGAUUGAGUAGCUUUAGACGAUGUCCUGUCUUGUCGUCAUAUUUUAGAUAAGAAUGUAGUCGGGAAUCUGCAUCAUAUUGUAUGUUUAUUGGUUGAUAUAGGUUAUAAUUGUAUAAUUGGUUUUGUGUUACACACAUCACAUUCUUUGAGAUAUCACGAUGCCACUGAUGUAGUAUGUUAUUUCUUUCCUAUUGCUAUCUUAUGAUUAAUUAAACGAAAUUAACUCUUUGAAGUAAUCCCGAAUUCCCGAUGCCUCCAUUUUGUUGAGAUAGGCCAUAUAUUUAUGGGCCUCAAGACCCUAAAGUUCCAAUCUGACUGGGAGAAAAAUAAUAGUAGAAAAUAAAGAGUCUCAAUAGUAAUCAUAACCCUACUAGAUCCUAGUACUAAUCCUUACAUUUUGUCAUCAGCAUAAAGAUCAGAUGAGUUUUAUAGUAUACUAAGUUGAUUUAAAUUUUUUUUCAAGUAAAGAAAAUCUAUAGUACUAGAUUUAACUACAAAAAUGUAGAACUAAACUCUUAGGUGUUGUUUGGUUCGCACUAUGUCAGAUCACUAAGGGCUUGUUUGGUUCACGAUUUGUAAUAUUCCGGCAAUCUUUGAUAUUUUCUAUUGAAAAUAUUCAAAUCAUUACCAAUCAACUCAAGUUAGAUAGUUGUAAGAGGUGUUAGUGAAGUAGUGGGUGGUAGGAAUACUGGAUUAUCAUGGGUUAGGAGGUAUUCUCAUUUCCGUGGUCGAUGGGAAUCGUAGUAGUCCAUUAAUGAGAAUAUACUAGUUCUUAACAACCUCCCAAUCCAAGAGGCUUGAUAAGUUAGUAAUAAAUCUGCCAUUCCAAAUAUAAAAUAUACAACAUUCUUGGAGUAUUACAAACCUUGAACCAAUCGGCCCCUAAGAGUUGUUAACAUUUCCAUAAUCUGGAUUACUAGAAUCAGAUUUCUAGGAAUUUACUAUUCCUGUGUUUGGUUAAGGUAGUAAUAUUAUCUCAGAUUACCAGAUAAGACAAUAUCAUCUUUGGUUCCACAAUAAAAUUCAUCAUGGUAAUCUUGCCAUUAUAAUGCAUAUUUCUGAAGUUGCCUCUGCAUUGGAAUGGCUUAAAUAGUGAUAUCCCCCUCGCAAAGUUAUGAUCGAGACAUUGUUUAUUCUUAUAUUACAAAUUUUAAGCAUUACAAAGACAUCAUUUGAACAAAAUAUGCGAAAAUAGAAUAAUGUGUUGAUCAUAAUGCUAAUAUCUAAUAAUUAUGCCAACAUAAAAUAUAAAAAAAUAGAACAUAAUGAAUACCAAAAGAUUCCCAAACAUUUGCAAUCAAUCAGACCAUGCAAGUCUAAACUUAUAACAUGUUACCAAGUAGUAACAAGUCCACAGGGAAAAAACAAGUUCAUGGACAACUAUCUAACACCCAUUCAACAUACUCUUAAUAUCAUUGGGCAACUGAAGUAGUUAGUUUUACUUGGCUUCUAAUAAAGGUGCUGGUGCACAUACGUUGCUUGUUGUUUGACCCAUCGAUCUUAGAAGUUCUUUGUAUAUCUUUAUCCCUCCAUUUGAAAUAUACUUUGUAGCACGAUUUUAAUAUGAAACAUUCAUUAUUGGUCUAUCUACAUUUGACAACAUCUGCCCCUUCAUUCAAAAGAGAAGUCGACAAGUAUUCUUUUAAACUCUUGAAGUCGAUCUAUUUCAUGUUGCGUCCUUCUCAAAUCCUUGGAGAAUAAAGUUCCACUUUCAUCUUCUACUUGACCAAUCGUUCUAGAUCCUAAUUUCCUUACAUGCUAUUUUUUCGUAUAUGUCUGGCUGCGUGGUGGCCAACAAGGUGUCAUAGAGUCAUAAUUCUGUUCAAAACUUUGUGCUUUUGCCAUUCCCUAUAACGUACAUUUUAUCCCACAUUUAAAUGUUCCUUGUGUCUAGAACAUUUUUCCACCAUUAGGAGAAUUGUCUGAAGGAUCUUCCCUCUUCGAGUUGUUUCCUUCCGUCCUAUCAUGAAACUCUUAUUUGUUUAUUCCAUCGAAGUUCAAGAUUUGCAAAGAAACUCCGCCACUUUGCCGACAAUGAUGUGUUCGUCGGUGCCAUGUCCUUAAUACUGGUCCUCGUUCUCUUUUGCUCAGACACUCCUUCAUUACACUAAACAAGACACCCCAUUAAUGUUGGUGCAUCCUUUCCGAAAAGAAGUCCAUCUCAAUGAUUCUAUCCAUCUAAUCACCCACUUGGGAGCUCUAAAGAGAAAAAGUGAAUUGGCUUGGACAGUAUAGAAUUGCUCAACACCAUUCUACCCCCUUGCGAAAGGAGAUUGGUCUUCCAACCUUCGAUCCUCUUGUCAAUGCUAGUAAUAGCCGUCCACCAAUCCUCCUGUUGCCUACUAGCUAGUGGUUGUCUCGAAGAGAGAAUUGCGAACUUUCCAAUCUUAUAUGAUAGAAUUUGUGUUAGUUUGUGAUCUUUACGGGCUUUAUUUUUCAUGUAGAACAACUCUGACUUCUCAUUAUUAAUUUUCAACCUUGAGCCCUAUUCAAAGAUAUCUAAGCUAAAGUGAAGACUUUGCAUAGCUUUUUUUUUUUUUUUUUUCCUUUUUUACUUUGCAAAAGAAAAUUGUGUCAUCCGUAUAAUGUAAAAGGCACACCUUGGUCUCGUCGUUCGGGCCCAGAUCCUGAAUCAAAGUGUUUCUAGUUGCUUCUUUAGUCAUUCUGGCAAGUCCUAUUCCCAAUAAAAAUAAUAAUGGGGAAAAGGGCCCCCUCUUCUCAACUCAAUCUACUUUGUAUGUGUCCUAUUUACCAACAUUGCAACCUUUGCAUGGUGUGUGCACUAUGCUAUCCAACCCUACCAUAUCAGCUUCUAAAAAAAAACAAUCUCACUUGUCGUAAGUUUUCUCAAAGUCAACUUUCACUUUGAUCCCCUCCAGCGCAUUUUUGUUGCACCACCUAACCAAUUUGCCAGCCAUGACAAAGGAGUUAGUGAUAAACUGAUCCUUAAGAAAAGCUGAUUGGGUUGGCGAAAUAAUUCUAUGCAUCACGCCUUCGAGCUUGUUUGCAAAGACUUGAGAUUAUAUUCUGUAUACCAUUGAUGAGACUUUCAGUCUUCGAGCUUGUUUGCAAAGACUUGAGAUUAUAUUCUGUAUACCAUUGAUGAGACUUUCAGUCUGAAGUCGUUUGCCUUGGGGGCUCUUCCUUUCUUCUGUAUAGGGCAGAUAUAUGUGUAGUCGAUUGCACUGGUGUUGGCCUUUCCUUUGUGAAGCUCCUUAAAAAUAUUGAAAAUGUCCUCCUUAACAACUUCUCAGAAUGUUUGGUAAAACAUUUGAGCAAAACCAUUUGGCUCGAGAGCUUUAUUCACCACCCCCCGCAUUGAAAAAUAGUUUUGUUAAUCUCCUCCAUCGAGAAUAGAUCUCGUUUAGGCUGGUAGUGUCUACUUCAAGAAAAAGAUUACUCCAAUCUCCGACUCCACAUUCUCCCAAUCUCGUUGGAGCAAAAACGUCUUUGUACUUUUGAAAAAAAUACUCUCUCUUUUCUUCCUUGCAAAUUAUUCAACCAUAUUCCUCAACCCUUUCCAUUGUGUUAGUGCGCUUCCUUUCGUUUGCUGUUGCGUGAAAAAAUUUAAUGUUACCAUCUCUCUCUUUUAGCCAAUGUUGCUUGGCAUGUGCCCUCCACAACAACUCGUCUUCUAUAAUCUUGGCCAAACCUGAUUUAAGCUCCUCCCUCCUUUCAAUCAGUUCUUGAUUUAAUCCUAGUUGCUCCUCUACUUUAUCGAUCUUCUGAAUUUUGUCCAUCGUGUGCUUCUUCGUUUCCUACCCUAAUUGUCUUAUUCUUGAUUGACAAAAUUUAUAUGCAAAAUACAAUAAAUAAGGCACUUUAAGAAAAUUCUCUAGCCAUCAAUAUCUGAUAAACUUGUAGGAUGGUACACUCAAAUCUUUUUUCAUAUUCUUUCAAUUAAGUAUCCUUGCCUUAUAUUGUUUCGUAACACCCUUGCAGAAUUAUGUAUUUCUUAUGUGCACUAUUAUCAUUAUGCUAUUUGCUUGUAUUAGUACUCGUGGAUAUUAGCUAGUUAAACAUUCUAUCAGUAGGGAUGAAUGUCUUCUAAUAUGCAAGACGUAUGUCGAUACGUUAAUGAUUAGUGUUAGAUAUGAAACUUUUUGCUUGUUUCUUUAAGUAUCUACCUCUCUAGUUACAAGUUAUAGAAUGGACUUUAUUUGCUGCUAUAGAAUGUUACCUUGUUGCUUAUACAAAUCAUUAGUUGUUUUCGGUUCUAUACUCAUGGGCAUGGCGCUUUUCUUGGUUCUUUAGUCAGCACCACUCAUUAACAUGCUAUGAGAUACACUAAAAACUUACUUUCUAUUCCACUAUGUUAGAACCCUAUAAACAGGGAUGAUUUUGGGUUGUUUCGGAACCUCGUGAAGUAAAAAGAAAUUUUUUUUUUUUUUUUUUUUUUUUGUUAUGUCAACUUUGCAGAUGUGUUAAAUUGCACAAAUGCCCUUACAAAGUUGGUAUUUGCCUGUGUACCCUAGAAAACUUUGCUUAUUUGUGGGUAUGUCUUGUUGAGAGUGUAUUGCAAAAGUAUGUACAGUAGCCAAGGUUUUUUGUACCACGCAUUACCAUUCAUUACCAAUUUACCAUGCUAGAUGAUAUGCUACAAACCUUUGUUUUUAUUCUAUUAUUGUAGAACCCUUUACAAACCUUUGUUUUUAUUCUAUUAUUGUAGAACCCUUUUGUAAUAUACUGGACUUUCGCAAAUUAGAAAGAUUGUAGUUUGAGUUGGUGGUUGUGCUAUCUGGUUGUUUCUGGACUAAGUUGGGUUUGGUUUGGCGCAAAACGAGCGCGAAACGGAAUUUGGAAACGAAUUUUGCUAAAACUUAAGUUUCAACGCAAUUCCGGACACCCAAAAUGUGUUGUGGGCGUCUGGAAGUGUGGAGCUGAGAAGGAGUGGUGUUUCGGAGGAUCUAGAUGAUGGGCCACGACGCCCGAAAAUUUCGGGUGGAAAUUUCAGACGCUUGGAAGUUCUGUGAGAGUACAGUCUGAAAGACUUAAGGUCACUGCUAACGUGAUCUUGUGGGCGCCCGAAAGUAUUGUGGAUGCCCAAAUGCUACGGAGAAUUGUAACUGAGUUUGGAGCGGUGAGCAGGUGACUUAUUACUUGAGGACGCUCGAGGGAGUGAUUCGGCUGCCCGAAAGUCUGAAGUGGCAUUGCAAUUAGGUUCUGGACGCUUGAAUGAAACUCUGGGCAUCCGAAACCGUCGGACUAAUGAGGUAUCAGUCACUUGAAAGUGGCUUCGGGCACCCGGUAUAUGUUUCGGUCUAAGUGUCUGUUUGCUGUUUUGCUGGAAGUUUGAGAACUUACAAUGCUAUUGUCACAGGCUAUAAAUAGGCCAUUACUAGUGGCUCCUCCAUCCGCCUGCUGAAAGAAAGCAAAUUUUUUCUUCUAUUUUCCUUUCUUUUCCUCCUUAACAAAGUUUUAGAUCCAUGUUUGGAGGGCCAUAAGUUAAUUAUUUUCUUGUUGGUGAUUCUUGUUGAGGUGUAGCUCUGGAGAUAGCUACGGAUUGAGGAGAGAAGCCGUGGGAAGAUAUUUGGUGAUAAUCUGUACAAUCUAUUUGGGUGAUAAGGUGAGAAAUACUAUGUAAAAUAAAAGUGAUAAUUUGAAGGGCAUUUGAGGUGUAUGAAUUAUAGUUUUGAUUCAGGAGCUUAGGUGGAGCUGAUCUUCUGGUGUGUGUUGUGGUGUUGUGGAGUAGUGUUGUACGCACUUCUCUUGAAGCUUGACUAGGUGGGCAUCUUGUGGCAGAAAUCAGCGUACUAACUAUUAUGUCUAUGAUUGUAUAUUGCAUAUCCUAUUUGAUAUUAGUUGAUCCUAUACAUUAAUUGAUCUGAGGAGUGCACAUGAUAUGUGUUGUCAUGGUGAACGUGAUACAAAAGGAUGUAUUGAUCUAAGUAGUUACCAGAUAGGUACUUUUGAGAGCUUAGUACCAGUGCCGUGACAUAGCCUAUACAUUGUGAACUACAUUGUAUUGUGAAACCUAUAGAAAGGUAACUUGGGAUUAUUGGACAUGGGUUCCUGUGACUCAAUAAUGCCAUGGGGCAAGAAAAUUUUGGAAAAAUAUGAAAGUGCCAAACGACAGAUAAACUGUGAAAAAAGAAAGUAAAAUGUAAUUUAAAAGUGCUAAAGGGCAAGUAAACAGUGUGAUCAUGAUCUUGUUGAUCAUUGUAGUGUGUUUAAAAAAGCGCGCCUUAGGUAUGUGGCUAGGCGCCUAGGCGCUAGGCUUAUUGGCCAGCACCUGGGCAGCCCCUAGGCAGGCGCGCCUUCUUCAUAUCUAUCCUAACAAGUUUGGAUUUAGAUCUAUAUGCUCUAAUAGGUUUGGAUCUAUAUAUUUAUUUGUCUAUUGGGUUGAAACAUAUAAAAAUAAAUCUGAAUCCCAAACUAACAUAAUUUAAAACACUAAACAAUCAUCAAUUGACAAAUCUUUAGGAGGAGGGGAGUAUUCUUCAUCAGGUGAUGAAGAUGAUGAUUGAUGAUUGAGGAAUGAGGACUAUUUAACAUUUCUAGUAUGAUGUAUUUUGGUUUGGAGCCUUUGAAUACUUAGCUCUCAUAUGACGUCCUUUUAAUGAUUUUUGGCUUGAAACUUUAAACUUUUAUGCUUGUUAUUUUUUUUAUGAUCUUGUGCUUAUAAUUAUAUAUUUUUCAAAUCAAAGUUUCCUAUAUAUAUUUGUGAAUUACUAGUUACCUUUAUGCUGGACUUUAUUUGGAGACAAAAACGUAAUUUGUUCUUUACUUUUAAUUGUGUUAUUUUGUUUUUUUAACAAUUAUCAUAUAUGUUGCUUGGCUUUCUUUUCUUUAUUUUUUUUCUUUCGAAAAUGUGAUUAUUUGGUUAGUUAUAGAAUAUUUAUUGUGAUAAUAUGAUUUUAAAGAGCAUUUAGUUCUACUAAAUAAUUAUUAGAAAGUAUAGUAAAGAACUUCUUGGUUAUUUCAAAAUUUUAUGAAAGUGUGCGUUUAACCUCUCUUAGGCGCGCACCUGCGCCUUGCUCCUAGGCUCAAGCAGUCCUUUGCGCCUAGGUGCGCCUUGGGCUUUUUUAAACCCCGAUUGCACACGGCUAUAGUUUGCAAGAGCCGAAUUGGACUUAAUGACAGAUGUGGUACUUUUUACUCGGUUGGGGUAGCGCCCUGUGAGUAGGUCCUUCGGAGGUGUAGCCUUAUGAGACAGUUUGCCACAUUUUCCUACAUGAGAGCGGACCACAACACCGAGGGUGAUAAGGGUUUGACAGUAGCUGUGGCAUAGGCUUGACCAGACUUGUGAGUCGGUCGAUGUGACUGGUGAUAUGAUAGUUGUUAUUAUCAGUUAUCUCACUUGAUGCAUAUGAGAUAUGAUGUACAUUUUCCAGUAUCUGUUCAUAGGGGCAUCGUAGCAGUUGUUUAUUUUUAGGUUAGUAUACUAUGUGAUCAUUUAUUCAUUUCAACUUUUACUAUUAAUUUCUUUGGUAGAUCUAGUAGUGUAGGUCAUCGUUGACUGGACCCACUGGGAACUAUUUUGCAAUAGUUUUCACGCUCUUCGAUGGUUGUUUUUUUCUCAAAGUCCGUGUCAGCAGGUGAUCGAAGUAAGGGGGUUGCGAGCUCGAUAGCAUCUCCUACCUAGGGGUGUCAAACGGGCCGGGCGGCCUGCCCGGCCCGGCCCGGCCAGUUAAAUCGGGCCGUGCUGGGCCUUGCUCCCGCGACCCAAUGGCCCGGCAGGGUCUGCACCAACUCCCAAUGCUUUGGGAGGCACCAACUCCCAAUGAGUUGAGUUGUGGCCUGUGGCUUUGGGACUCCCAACAGUCAAAGAUUGGGUUGUGGCUUUGGGAGUUGGGCUUGGACUAAAAUGCCCUUCCCAACAGUNUUUUAAAUAAUUUAAUUUAAAAUUUAAAAUUUUAAUAUUUUUAUAAAUAUAUUUUAAUUUUUUUUACUUAUAUAUUAUUUUUAAAAAAAUUAAUAUUAAUAUUUUUAUUUUUCAAAAAAUUUAAAUAUUUUUAAAUAAAAUUAAUAAAAUAAAAAAGGGCUGGCCCGAAGCCCGGCCUGGCCCGGCACGGCCCGUGCAAUCCGGGCCGGAGGGCCGUGCUGGGCCGGGUUCCAAAAACUUUGGCCCGGCACGGCACGGCCCGAUUUUGGGGCCGGGCCGUGCCGGGCUGGCCUGGGGCCCGUUUCGGCCCGGAAAAUGUGGGCACGGCCCACAUUACAUCCCUACUCCUACCUUGGAUGUGUGCUAGAGGAGGACCAUACCCUGAUGUGAUGGCUAGCUGUACAUAUGAUAUUUUGGAGAGAGACAUCUGUUGUGUAUUAUUGUGGUUAUGUUGUUGGGAUAUGUACAGUUGUAGCGAUAGUUGUAUUCCUGUAUGGUAGCACUUAAGACUUUGAUACAUAUUUUUAUAUGCAUACACUCCUUGUACCUGAUUUGGACAGGGGGUUUGAAUACGUUCCGUGCGUAUGGGGUGCGUCUUCGUACAUAUGGGGAGUCUGUUAACAUAAUCUGGGUGCUUCCGCUGUAAUACUGUGUGUGAUAGAUUAAGUUGGUAUGCCUAGGAAAGUGAUCGGUGGAUUUAGGAAACUCUAGACUUUUGGUAGAACCUAAGGAUGUCAGAUGUGAGUGACUUGUAGCGAAAGUCGAUAAAUUGGGUUAUAUGAAAUAUUCAGAAGUGUAUUAAAGAGUAAUUGAAGGUGAUGUAUCUUCUUCUUCCAGAUAACUAUGUUGGAUUCAAACAACGUAGUGUUGUAGAGGAAAAAGGGGAUGCUUUCUAGACUUUUGCUUGAUUGGGUCGAGUCGUGUUAGUAUUGGUGUACUAAAUGUUGUUUUGUUCUAUGUGAUCGGGAUGACGCGGCAUCCGUGACCACGGACAAGAGCCACUAUGGCACAGCUUGAGAAGUAGGAUCAGGCAAGGUUUCCGGGAUGUGAGAGCUUUUCGAGCAGAUGGUCGAGAUAGUAGGGCCAAUAGGGAGGUAGGCUGAGGCUUCCUAGCCUUAGGAGUAGCAUUCGCUUUUGUUGACUACUCAUAAGAGAGCACAAGUGUCGGCUACGCCAAUCACUACAAGUCCUCCACCAAAAGGUAAUGCCGCUGCUAUGCCUACAACCACUUGGGAUACGUUGAUGGCUGGUUAGGGGGUAUCAGAGGCAGAGCAGGAGCAAACCCGGGUGAGUUCGACAAACUUUUGCAGGUUUGACCUGCUAAGGUUCGAUGGGCAGAACAUCGAGCCCUGGAUAGUUGAGGUAUGGGUUGAUGUUGUAGAGAUGUUAUUUGAGAACUUAUAUAUUGUAAAGGGAUCAAGUGCACCUGACAGCGCAUUGUUCGGAGGGCGAUGCUCACUACUAGUGGAGGGUUCGAUUGAGUAGGCUGGAGGGUGCGUCUCCUGGGAACACUAUUUAGUGCUUUUUUUUUUUUUUUGAGAAUUGUGAAGGAAAAAAUUGGAGAAUGAUUUCAAGAAAUUGCGACAGGGGGAUUGCACAGUGCAGAAUUAUGGAAGGGAGUUCACUUGCAUUCUGAACUGCAUUCCUUUCGCAGUCCAAGAUGAAUGGCAUAAGACGUUACUUUGAGCGAGGCUUGUGGCUGGAGAUUAAUUAGUUUGUACAGUUGCAACAUUUAUAGACUGUAGAUGAGUUGAUUGAGGUUGUGCUUUGGAUGGAGCGGGGUGCCACGGUGUUGCGUUAGGAAAGUGAGGUCUUAGAGAAGGAAAGCAAAGCAGCCAGUGAAGAUCUUCAGUCAAGAUCGAGGAAGCCAUUGAAAUAUUCACAAUAGCAUUCUCAAGGUCGUGGAUCCUUCGUUGGAUGGAGACUUUUUGUGGCUCGGCAAAGCAGCAGGGGAGAUGUGUGAUAUAUGGUGGGCCGCAUUUGCCUCAUUUGUGUGCUCAGCGAGAGGGUCAAUGUUUCUGCUAUGGAUAGGCGGGACAGAGGUGGCCAACAUGUCCUCAAGAUACUUCACAGGCACUAUCAGUGGCGUUUAUUCCUUCGACCCCACGACAGAUGAGAUGAGACACCCACAUUUAUUUCUACAAGCCAUCCCCUUGUACCACGCCCGACUGAGGGAUCUCCACAGGUGCUAAGUGGUAGAGUAUAUGCGCCGCAGGUUGAGAAGGCAUCAACUGUUGAUAAUGUGGUCAUGGCUAUUAUUUUAAUUAAUGGUGUUUGAGUACGCGUAUUAUUUGAUACUGGUGUAUCACAUUCAUUUCUGAGUUGGGCAUUUGCAUCACUGCAUGGACUAGAAAUAGAUACAUUGUCGCACGUACGAGGUUUUAGAUUUCUGAUCAUGUUGGGGAGUGUUGUAUGUCAUAUCCAGUGCAAUUGCAACAAUAGAUUAUACCUGUAGACUUAUUGAUCUUGAAGCAAUUAAAGAAUUUGGAUGUAGUGUUAGGGAUGGCUAUUAUGCGACGAUUAACCGCGGAGAUAGGAUGUUGGUAUUACGCGAGCCAGUGUUGAUAUUACGCGAGCCAGAGUAGGAGGAGUUUGUAUAUAAGGGUUGUAAGAGUACCCUGUUUGUUAUGAUCAUUUCUACAUGUUAUAGUACUGAGACUUUGACACAUGUUUUUGUAUAUAUUCACUCCUUGUAGCUAAUUUGGACAAGUUGGUUGUAUACGCUUUGUAUGUCUGGGUGCGUUCAAGUGCAUACGGCUGAUCUGUUAGCGUAAUCUAGGGGUUUACAGCAGGCUUCUGUUGUAACACGAGGCGUGACGCCUAUGAACCCUAUGUGCAAUUUAGAUAUGUUAUUCCAUGGCAGGUGAUACACUAGAAAGUAGAAACCUUUAUUUUUAUUCUAUAGAUACCUUGGCAAGGGCAUGUGUGCAAAUAAGUAGGUACCUUCUUAAGGUUACUUCGUCUCCUCGCUGGCGACAGAUGGAAGGAUAUAUGGUUAAGUAAAUCAGAUAAAUCAUGUUUAAUGAGCGGAUGAUUUUUGAUAAUAGAGUUAAGUUUUAUUCAUUAUUUUUUCCUCUAUAUUUGUAAGGGCAUCUGUAUGUGAGAAGUGCAGUAAUGUUUACUGCUACACGUGAUUGCAUGUAAAUCUUUGUGAAGUAUGGACAUCACUAAUUAAGCAAUAUGCUUUUGGAGGCUGUGAGUUUUGUCUUAACUAAUAUUUCCGUAUUUAUUUGCGGCAGCUGGUGCGUCCUGCAAAAACUGCGGAAAUGUCAGCAACAGCAUCUCGUUCUUAUCUGAACAGUCAGAGUUGACCACAUUGGCACAACUUUGAUCCGUAUCUUUGAAAAGAACUGAAAAAAAAAAAAAAAAAAAAAAAAAAAAAUUUGCUCAUCUGAGACUGAUUUGUAUACUUAGCUAUGCGUAAUUAAACCCUUAAGAAGUUGAUUUGCAACUUUGAUCUGGCAAAGGUCCGUUGACUUCCCGUUUAUGAUAAUACUCUUCUCUCCAAAUUUGCAUUGUGAUGGGUAUAUCAAGCUCCAAUCACUUCAAAGAUAUUUUCGCACGGAACUCAUUGUCAGCUAUUAUUUCUUGGUAUUCGUUGUAUUAAUUUGAUAAAUAGGUCUAGUGUACCAUGGGGUGGAGAACUGAACUUGGAGAAUUAAACUUAAUGGACCAUUCUUGUUUUCAAUUAUCCAAAUAUUACUCGCAUGGUAGAUAUAAAUAACUUCCAUUGGUUGGUGAGACUGUGUAGUUAAGUACCUGAAAUUAUCAUCUUUUCUUGUAUACUAAGAGAUUUUCAGUUUAGUAUGAUAUAAUCUUCAAAUACUAAUGGAAAUGUUGAUUUUGGAUCACAGGAGAGCCUCGUUUUGGCAGCUUCAGCAACUUCUCUUUAGCAGGAGAAAAUUCUAUUAGUGGAAUUCCAUCAUUGUCCAGACGAAGCAAGAUGCGACCAAGAAGUUCGGUGGUCCCUUUAGCAUCAAAGAGCUCCUUCAGCUACCCUGAGAUGACUUGCAAACCUAAAUGGUGGUGGCGCACACUCGCUUGCAUCCCUUACCUUCUACCUCUCCACAAUAUAUGGUCCUACGCUGAUGUAGUUUAUCAUCUUCACCCUUUAUUGCAAAAUUACGAGUUCCUGGUGAACCCUUUCCUGGACACUAUAGCGUUAAUGCCCAGUUGGCUCACUUACGCUCUUUUCAUGGGAAUCUACUACUUGGUGGUGAGGAGGAAUGAACUGCCUCAUUUCCUGCGGUUCCACAUUGCAAUGGCGAUGCUUUUUGACACGGGCAUUCAGAUCAUGGGGACUGUGUGCACUUGGAUGCCGAACACGGUCUACAGGGGUAGCUUGAUGGUGCAUUUCUGGCUGACAUUGGCAUUCCUUCAGAUGUACACAGUGCUUGAUUGCAUGAGGUGCGCGCUUUCUGGAAUGUACUCGGAGGUGCCCUUUCUGUCUGAAUCGGCGUACAUUCACACUGAUCUGAAGCUAUUUUGAUAUUAGGGUUCCUCUCCAUAAAUAGUUAAUGCAUAGUUAGAAUAAUGUGUCUAUCUGUAGAGAUCGUGGUUACUAGAAGAAGCUACGGAGAUCGUGGCAGAAGAAAUAAUAGCUAGUUAUUAGGCUUGUUCCCUUGUCUUGAAAUAGGAUGUUACCAAAGGUAGGAUUAGAUUUUGGUAAAUUGCGCUACUAGUCCAUGAACUUAGCAUUGAGUUUUGUUUCAGUCCUCAAAACUUUCUGACGUCGACAAUCGAGAUCCUGAACUUUCAAUACGGUUUCAUUUUAGUUACUAAACUUUUUCGUUUGUUUUGAUUUAGUCUUUAACUUGGAAUUAUUGCUUGCACCAAGUUCAUCUUUAUGUGUGUACACUGAGUAUUGCAGCUUUUCAACCUAUCUUGUAUUUUUAAUUCAAUGGUCAAAUUUUUAUAUGAAGAAAAGAUUAUAACUCAAAUGGAUGUAAGUACUGAAAUAUAGGAUAAUAAAAAGGGCCGAUGAAAGCUAUAGCACAGAUGUAUAGAGGCAAUAAUUUACCUUCUAAUAGGAGUUUGUAGAUAAGGUCUAGUGUGAAACUAUUUCAAGAGUUCAGGGAUCAGUAAUGUCGAACCUAAAAGUUUUGAGGACCAAAAUGAAACCCGGCUAGAAGUUUGGGGACUACUACUGUGGAAUGAGAGUGCAAAACAAGUGUGGCAGUUACAUGGACAUUGUUCGAUUCAGGGCCCCACAAGUGUAGACUCCUGUGGGAUUCUGAAUCUAACUAUUAAUUUUGUCUAUUCAAUUCAGAUUAUGUUCUCUUUUAAUCACAACAAAUUUUGUUCAUUUGGCAUUUGUACAUUUGGGCUUCAUAAUAGUUGUUUAAUGUAGUUUCUUGAGGGUUUGAUAUUUGAUGUACUUUGUGAGUGCUAAAGUAAUUGGAAUAAACUAUUCUCGAGUAAGUUGACAGGUGGAAAAAAAAAGUGUGCAUCAAACAUUAUUGGUCUUGCAUGUGAGCUAUUCUUUGCAAAGUUCCUCUUUCUUUCUUUGGCUUCCAUAUCUUAGAAGUGUACUCGUCCUCCCUAGAGAUGCAAAUGGAUGGGGUUGGUAGAGCUCCCGCCUUGAUCUGUCCCGAAUGGGGCGGUAAGUAGGAACAAAAAGUAUAGAAAAAUAUAACUCGCAUUGAAUCCGCUCCGAUCCAUCAAGUAAAUGGAGCGGGAGGCGGGAGAUUCUUUUCUUUUUUCAAUCUAUCUUGAUCCGUAACAAAUUUGUCAAAAAUUCGCUCCCGUCCCGAAUGGGAUGGUAAGUGGGACCCAAAAAUAAAAUAAAAAAUAACUCGUCUCGAAUUUGCCCCAUCCAGACAAGAAAUAGAACGGGAAGUGCUGGCACUCAUUCGCCGCUGGAUCCGCCCCAUUUGCAUCCCUUGUCCUCCCCCCCCUCUUUGUAGCUCAGAAAAAGUAAUCUCUCAGUUCUCGUAUUUCGCUCCCUCUCUCUCUCUCUCUCUCUCUCUCUCUCUCUCUCUAAUAGUGGAUGCAUCCAUCCUCAUAAAUUAUUUUUGAUGGAGUUUUUAAAUCGAUAAUUCAUAUUAUUAAAUAUUAUUUAAUGCAUUUGAAGUAUAUAGAAGUUGAAUUUUAUAAUUUUUAAAAUUAUAAUGGAAUCGGUAUAAAAUGAACGGUCAAAAUUGAAUGACCUUUAAAAAUGGAGCAUUUAAUUGAAGAUGGGAGUGAUUGGAGUAAUUUAUCUUGAUAUCGAUAUUGAAUAGAAUUUUUUAAUUAAAAAUUCAAUCGAUUUUAAUUUUUUUAUACCAUUAAAUUAAAAAAUGCUCUAUACUGACCGUUAAAAUUUCAAUUUUGAGGCCUUUCGAUUAAUAAGGUAUACGACAUUAAAAAAUUAUAAAAUUUGAUUUCUAUAAUGUUUAUAAUGGAAAUUAUAUGGAAAGGCAUAAAUCGUCAAUUCAGAAGCUUAAUAAUUGAAAACAAUUUAUCAAUACGAAAGCAAUCGUAUUCGUAAAAGUAUAGUGGUCUGUCACACUGCAGACGGUAGCCUUACUUAGCGCACAUGCAGUCCCACUACACAGAAAGAGGCUUUUAUGCAUGUGUAUGGCAUCAUAAUACAAACCACCUGCCAAUUUUCAUGAUUUGCAAAGAGAAAAACUCAGAAAUUUAAACUUUAAAAUGAUUUUGCAACAUUUACCAAAACAAGUAUCUGAGUUUUUCAGGAAAAAUAAAUGUGUGUUUCCAAAACAUAUGAGUCUUUACCAUAGAAUUCAACAUUCCAGUUUUUCCAAAACUGAAACACUAGCUCCAACCAGGAGUUUAACUUACAACAUUCAAGUUUUGCCAAAAUACAUGAGUUUCAACCCUGCGGUUUAAGUCACAACAUGCUAUCUUAAAAUAAAACUAAAAAUGUAACUCAGUCGGUGGGGAACUAUUUAACGCAAGAUCCUCGCGAAAAGUCUCGCUCCACCUUGUCCGACGAACUUGCAAAACAAUCGGUACAAUAAGCCGUCGAGAGCAAACUAUAUCGACUGGAUAAUAAGGCACCAAUGAUAACAAAAUAACUGAAUAGUACCACACGUAUGUGAAAAUAUGUGUAUGAUUUGGCUAUCAUCCGACUAACUAUAUCCAACAGAUAUCAUUUAUGAAUCAUACGUAUAGCUGCAAGCAACGGUAUGAUUCCCACCAAAGUAACUAUGUCCAAGUAAGUGUACGUCAACUGAAUCUUCAUGUACAGUAGGAUAACAGUGAUAAUAAAGUAACCGACCGUUUCUAGUGCAAGUGGCAAAAGAUUUGGUGGUUGGUACCCGAGAUCCCAAAUUCGAAUCUUAAUUGAUUCACAUUUUCAGGUAAGUUUAUUUCUAAAUGAAAUAAACGAAGCGGAUAGCAUGUCACCUAUUUCUCAAAAAAAAACCCAACGAUAAUAAAGUAGCUGGAAGGCACAACAAGCAUGCAUAAAAAAUUAGGGAUGAAUUGAAGUCAGUUGUGCUUCAUCAAAGUGAAUUGGUCACAUCCAUGCCUGGGGUAAGAAAUUGUAUUGGACUUAUAUGUAUAUAAAGAAGUAACAUAAUUGGUAAAAUGAUAUGUAUGAAAAUGCAAUUUAUUUUAAAUAAAUUGAUACUAUGAUACUAGAACUCAACAUAAGUGGAACACACAAAUCUAUGUUGAGAUAACAAUAACACUCUCUAUGGACAUUGGAGAAUGAACUGACAUGUAUACGAAAUCUAGUGCCAUUUAAUAUAGGUUGGAAAGAUAUAGUGGGUAGGAUAUCACUUGGAUGGGCAGGAUACUACUUGGGCCUGAUAAUAUAAAAUCUAGAAAGAUUGACAAUGAAUGGUGAAAUCAUGUGUACCUUUGCCUCGACCAAGAAAGCGGCGAUCUCGCUACCCAAAGACUUGAGAAAGCGGCGAUUCCGCCACCCAAUGCCGAGAUAGUGGUGAUUCUGCUAAGUAUGAACUUAUGGCCGGAGGCGAAAGUGGCAAUUCCGCUAUCCAAUGCCAAGAUGAAAAGUGACAAUUCUGCUAUGAAUUGACCCACGACAGGAGUCGAGUAACAUAUGGUUAAUUAGGAUAAUGAAAUUAGUGGAUAAAUAAUAACUUCUGUCAUUUCAUAAAUUUUCAUUAUUGCAUAAACUGAGCAUGAGCAAGAUUAUUUUAUUUUGGAAUAUAGUACUUAUUCAUGUGCUUUAGUUAUCCAAACACCUUCUUAAUUUUGGGUUGAGCAUGUCACAAUAACUGAGCAAUUAUCAUUUAUUGUUGGAUCGUUGGUGCUAACUAUUAAUUCCAAAAGUUCGAGCUAUUAGAAAUACGCAACCAAUUCACUUAGGUAUCGUUUGGUUCGGGGAUAAAAAAAAAAGUGGCUGUUCCAGGAAUAGGUAUAAAUUGAGGUAUAAGUGAGGAUUAGAUCAAUUUUGCGUUUGGAUGAAAAUUGGGUUAUUCCUGGAAUAAAAAAAAUAGCGUUUGGUUAGGUAAGAUGGAAUAAGAAAGAUAAUAGGUUUUGUAAAUAAAAAAUAAUGAUAUUAUCCACUUAUUAUAUUUGAAUUUGAAUUUUUAAAUUUUUAAAUUUAUAUUUCUAAAUUUAAAAUUUUAACUUUGAAAUUUAAAAUCUCAAAUUUUAAAUUCAAAAUUUUAAAUUUUAAAUUUCAAACUUUAAAUUUAAGAUCAUAUUUAAAUUAAAAAAAUAUAAAAUAUCAAAUUUUAAAUUUCAAAAAUUUAAAAUAUCAAAAUUUAAAUUUAAAAUUUAAAAUUUAUAAUUUAAAUUUUAAACUUUAAUUUUGAGAUUAUAAAUUAUAAAUUUUAAAAAUUUAAAUUUUUAAUUUUUAAAAUUUUAAAAUAAGAAUAGUGGUGGGAACAAUUAAUAAAAAUAAUUUAUUAUAAUAAAUUUAUAAUUUUUUUAAAAAUUCUACUUAAACUUAAAUUUAAUAAAAAAAAUUUAUUAUAAUAUUUAAAUAUAAUUUAUUAUAAAUUUUAUUAUAAUAUUUAAAUAUAAAUAAUAUGUAUUAAUAUAGUACAAUUAAUAAUUUUAUAAUAAAAAUAAUGUAUUAUAAUAUAUAACAUAUUAUAUUUAUAUAAUUUAGUUUAAUUCAAUUUAUAAGUUUAAUUAAGUUUGAAAUUAAGCAUUGGAAUAGCACUAUUCCACCAAAAUGGUGGAAUAGCAAAUCCCUUGCUAUUUCGGGAUAACCGAGAAUAGCAAGGUUUGACCGGGAUAAAAUAUUCCGGCCAAAUUUUACCCCGUUUGGCGGAAUAGCGGGGAUAACAAAAGUUAUCCCCGCUUAUCCCGCGAUCCAAACGGGGCCUUAAAGCGUACAGAUACAGCGCCUACGGGUCCUAUCUAGCCUCACGCCAUAUCGAACAUGACUCGACCCAACAUGGCCUCCCGUUACAGAGCAGGAUGCUGGCCCAUUUAAGUCAACAAUCCCACAUUUGGGGCAUGCGGGAAUCGAACCUGUGACCUCUGUCUCUGAUACUACUUGUCAGAUUGAUGGCGCUAACCAAUAAUCCCAAAAGCUCNAAUUAAAUUUCGAACUUGGACCAGAGCUAAGUAAUUAAAGCAAUGAUGUUAAGAUUACUUUUGAAUGAACACUGAACUUAGCUAGAAAUGUGAAGAAAUUAGGUUUCAAACUUAUGACAUAGCUUUUUUUCAUUUUUCAAUUUUGGAUUGUUAGAUCUGGUGAACAAUUUGGGCACGAUCGCGAGGUCGGGGACGAAGGAGUUCAUGGAAGCGCUGCAGGCUGGCGCGGACAUGAGCAUGAUCGGGCAGUUCGGCGUCGGGUUCUACUCGGCCUACUUGGUGGCCGAGAAGGUCGUCGUGACCACGAAGCACAACGAUGACGACCAGUACGUCUGGGAGUCGCAGGCUGGCGGCUCCUUCACCAUUCGCAAGGACGUCGACGGCGAGCCUCUCGGUCGCGGAACCAAGAUCACACUCUUCCUCAAGGAUGAUCAGGUAAUAAUACAUGUAUAUGUACUGUAGGAUCGAUCGUUGGCGUUAACUAUUAAUUUUAAAAUCUUGAGUUGUUAGAAAAAUACAAUCAAUUCACUUAAAACGUACAGAUACUGCGCCAACGGGUCUCAAUUGUGACUCGGUCCACCUAGCCUCACGCUACUUCGAACAUGACUCGGCCCACCUGGCCUCACGCAAUUUCGAAUAUGACUCGGCCCAACAUGGCCUCCCACCACAGAGCAGAAUGCUGGCCCAUUUAAGCCAACAUUUAUUAUCAGAAAAACAUCAAUUACAACUAUAGAACAUAUGAAUCCUCAGUGCAGUCAGAUCGCAUUAAACCUGUCCAAAAUAUUCGAUAUUUCAUACCCGACCUAGACCAUACCCGAACCCUACCAGAACCCUACCCGGUCCCGAUAAAAAAUAGAUAGCAUACGGGUAAAAAAAAUUAUCCAUUAAAGUUUUAGGUAUGGGUCCAGAUAUUUUAUACUCAUACCCGAUUUGGACUCGACCUCAAUCCAACUUUUAAUAGGUAGGGUUCGGAAUAGUUUUCAAAUUCGUACCCGGACUCGGACCUGGACCAGUGAAAUAUUCGAUAGUAAAUAAAAAUGAUUUGAACUUUUGAAAUUGAGGGAUCAAUUUAAUAAGACUUAUAGAUGAGGGGUCUCUACGUAUUUUUAUCCUAGUGAAACCCUAGCCACUCUUUCACUCUUGUCUUUUUCUAAUCUUUUUACUCUUUGUUUUUUACUCCUUAUAUUUUCAUUUCAUUUCCGCCUUAGAGUUUUUUAUGAAAUAAUAUUUUCAUCAUCAUCAUCAUCAUCAUCAUCAUCAAUGACAAUCCUCUACAAGCGUGGUACAAGUGAGUUUUUUUUCAAAUCCCUUCUCCAAUAGACCCGACCCGACCCAACCCGAUCGGGUACCCGUACCCAAUCUAGACCUGACCCGUACCUGGUCCUGAAUGGGUAGUAUACAGGUAGUCACUAUCCACACCCGCUCAACCCGAUGGGCAUAUUACUAACUUAAGUAUCCAGACCCGAACCUGAUACAAAGUUAUAUGGGUAGAAUAUAUAUAUAUAUAUAUAUAUAUAUAUAUAUAUAUAUAUAUNNNNNNNNNNNNNNNNNNNNNNNNNAGAGAGAGAUCAUAUAAUGAGAGUUUAGUAAUGGUGGUGAUGAGUAACUCAUAUUUUUUUUUUUCAGGGGUUGUUUGUCAAACAAGUUCGGCAAAGCGGUGGAAGAUACUUAUGCAAUCGCACAAAUGCUGAGCUUGAGGAGAUCAAUAGGAGGAGGUAUGGUAAAAAAUAUUUUAGGCUGCAAAUAACAAUUUCAGUACUCAAUUUUUAUCAUCCAUCAAUUAAUUUAUGAUUUCUUGCAUUUACUGCAGCCUCUUUUAUACAUGGAAGAUACAUAAUGCAUUGCGAGAAUAUUACAUCAAUUAUGCAAGAAAGAUGCUAUUGAAUCAAUGAUGCAGAGAAGAUGCGAAUUCUAUUGUUCUGCUUCUUGAGUUAUUUAAAAGAAUAUUAUUAUAUCUUUUUAGCUAUUCUAAACUUUAUUUAUUUCAUUUAUAUAUGUCAAAAUAUUUUUUGUAAUUUUCGCGAUUAUGAUAUUAUUUAUUUCAUAAUAAUUCAUUCAAGCAUAUCUUCUAAUAGCGAGGAAAUUUAUUAUUUUAAAAUUUAAGAUAUUAUAUUUAGCAAUCAUAUAAAUAUGCAAUAAAAUUAAAUUUAUUAAAAAAGAAUUUUACCCUCGCCGUAAUAAUAUUACAGUGCAUUGGCAACGUACAUAUUUACUUAGUAUAUAUAUAUAUAUAUAUAAUAUUAUUAUAUAUAUAUAUUAUAUAUAUAAUAAUAUAUAUAUAUAUAUAAUAUAUAUAUUGAUAUUUUCUAGCCAUUUCUUUUUAGGUUGUGGGUACGGUAUAUUAAUUAUCCCGAUUCGACCAGGUCCACGGACACCUUUAGAUCACAUCCAACAAAAAUGGAUAGCCACGUCGCCAAUUAAAUAAUGAACUAAUGAGAAAUUGCCAAAUAUCCUAUGAAAAUUUGGAUGCACUCAUUUCAUCGUAAAUUGACUCUAAAUUACGCAUAAAAGAUAAAUUUAUAUUAUAUAAUAAAUUAUUUAAAUAUUUUAUAUUGUAUUUUAUUUUACAAUACUAAUUAUUAAAUAUUUAUCAAUUAUUUAAUAUACUGUGUGGUGUAUGGAUCAUUAAUAUACACUAGGUGCAAGCAAAGAUUUAUCCUCUUUUUCUUUGAAAUUAUGAGUGCAUUCUGUUAAAUAUUCUCUGCAUGGAAUAUAUAUGUGUAAAUACACCACAUACUUGAAGUCAUUUAAUAGAGAUUUUAAAAUUUAAUUAAUUAAAUAUAAUUUAAAUUAUUAGACUUUGUAUAACAUAUUAUAUUUAAUUAAGUUUUGAUAUUUAAAAAUUUGUCAUUUAAUAUAAGUUGCGGUGUAUGAAAUAUUAUUAUACAUCAAGUGCAUACAAUAGUUUCUUCUUUUUCCAAUCAAUUUUAAUAAGAUAAACACACCUUUGUCUUUUCUGCAAUUUAAAAUAACUCCUCCAAUUUUAAAUUUUAGUUAAAAAUUAUUUAUAAAAUGGCUACCCAAACUUGGUUGAACUUUUAAACAAAAUUGUUAGAAUAAUUUAACUCUUUAAAUACUGAAAGUUUUAAAAAAAUAUAUAAUAAAAAAGAUUAUUUUUUAUAAUAUACAUAAGGUUACUUUAUAAAUUUUUUUUUUCACUAGUUAUAAAUUUUCAAUUUAAUAAUUAUAAUAUAUAUCUUAAUUGAUUAAAAUAUUAUUUUUUUCGGCUACUCGCACAAAUUAAAAGCGCGGAUCCAAUACUAGUACGGAUAAACUUGAUAUGUUGAUUUUUUUUUUUUUUUUUUUUUUAGAGAGAUAGAUAGCACGCUAUCCAUUUCGUUUAUUUCAUUUAGAAACAAACUUAGCUGGAAAUGUGAAUCAACUAUGAUUCGAACUUGGAACCUCAGGUACCAACCAUCGAGCCAUUGAUAUGUUGAUUUUGUUCUUCUACAUUUGACUCGUCGCUUGCGUAUGUGGAUAGUCCUCGAUCGGUACAUUACCUAAUAGACAUAAUUUUAGGCUGAACAAGUCACAAUAUGUGACCAAUUAUCAUUCAUCACCAUAGAAACGUCAACUAAAUAAGAAAAGCACGUUGUUGGUCAAAACAUACUUAUAAAUACUACAACUAAUAUGAGUUAGACUGUCAUACUAUAAGUAGACAAAUGAUAAUUAAUUGCACAAUUUUUGGAAAGAGAGCUAAAGUAAAAAAAAUUUGGAGAAAUUUACUAUAUGCCCCUGCAAAUUCAAGUAAUUUCAUUACUAACCUUGUAAAUAUUAUUAUAAAUACCCUUCAAAAUUUUAAAAUUAACCUAAUAAAUAAGUUUCUGAGUAAUUUAAAAUUAAUCAAUAGAAGAAAAUUCUUAUUGCACUCUUUUUUGUCUAUCAUCGCUGUUUUUAAAUUUGUUGGACUCGAGUCUUAUACAUGAUCCGUUUUGGAGGGGCCCUAUUGAUCCGGUUCGAAUUGUUAUCCGCCCCAUUAAGUCAAUUAUGAAAAAAAAAAAAAAAGAAACUGUAGCUAUCCCCAUGAUGAAAAAGUGGAUUGGAGAUAUAUAUAUAGAAAUGGUCCUCUCCCUUUGAUAGUAAUGAAAUACUAGCGAUAGGAACCCAUUAUUAUUCCAUCAUUAUAAAAAAAAAAAAAUUAUUAUCAUUACAUAAUUGCAUUGCGGUUAUUUAUGCGUGAACCAAACUAAUUAAAAAGAUGGGACCGAGAGGUGGUUGGCAGAUGAGAUUGAGAUGGUUUGGAUGAUCUUCAAGUCUACUUUCAUGAUGGCAUUGGAUAUUUUUUAAGUAAUUGACUUGGGAGUGAGGAUACUGUCAUAUACAUGUACCAUUUUCUUCUUUUAUUAAUUAAUUUAUCUCAAAAGUUUUAUAAUAGUUAUUCGUCUUUUAGGACAGUGGAACCAUGCAUGUUCAAAAUAAUUGAAUUGUACCAUUUUCUUCUUUUAUUAAUUAAUUUAUCUCAAAAUUUUCAUAAUAGUUUUUCGUCUUUUAUGAGAGCGGAACCAUGCAUGUUCAAAAUAAUUGAAUUGUACCAUUUUCUUCUUUUAUUAAUUAAUUUAUCUCAAAAUUUUCAUAAUAAUUUUUCGUCUUUUAUGAGAGUGAAACCAUGCAUGUUCAAAAUAAUUGAAUUAGAAGGAGAAAGUGAGAUUCAUUUAGUGUCGUAUAGACAAAAGAGGAUGGCAGGUGCAUGCACGAAAGCAUGGAAACUCAUAUUCAAUGAGUCUGUCCUAGGGUGAAAACGUACAGCUGGAUACGGUCGGAGAUUUGAUGAAAUUAUAUUCAUAUUUAUUAUUUUUUUCUAUGUGAAUUUGAAUACGCAUAUAUAUAUAUAUCGGAUGUUAAAUUUUGAUUACCAUAUCUAUAAUGUUAAAAUUUUAUUACCAUAUCUACUAAAAAUGAAUUAGAAUAUAAUUGAAUAUUUUUUCGGAUUCGGAUAUGGAUCUUAUUUGUAUUUGAAUAUUAUUCGGAUAAUAAUAUAUUCUAAUAUACGCAUAUGAAUAUGAACUAGAAUUAACAAUAAUAUAAUUAAAAAUUUCACAUUCUUGUUCAAAUUUUUAUAUACCUAUAUAUAUUUUAUUGAAUAAUAUCUAAGAUUUAACACCGACUGUCCCUAGAGCAAGUGGCAAAGGGCUUGGUGGUUAAUACCCGAGACCCAAGUUCGAAUCCUAGUUGAUUCACAUUUCUAGCUAAGUUUAUUUCUAAAUGAAAUAAACGAAGCAGGUAGCGUGCUACCUAUCUCUCAAAAAAAAAAAAAAAUCUAAGAUUUAACAAAUACAAAUAUAAUUUCAAAACUCAUAAUAAACUGAAGAAAAUGCAUAAUAAACCAGCAAUCAAACCCCAAAGUAUAAUUCAAAUCCAAAUUUAUAAUUAUAAUUAUUCUAAGUUUAAAUUUAAAUAUAUAUUUGAAUUUAAAUUAUUAUUAUUAUUGAAUUUUAAUAAUAAUUUGAGGUGUGGGAAAUCGAAUUCAUCUCACAUAAGAGUAUUUUUUACCAUCUAAGCUACACCCUUCUUAUUAUUUUUCCGCAAUAUAUGAAUUAAUAAUAAUAUAUAUUAUUUUUUGGAUAUUCGAAAUCGAAUCCGAAUCCGAAUCCAAAUUUGAAUUCGAAUCUAAAUCCAAAUCUGAAUUUGAAUCCAAAUUUGAAAUAUUUUAAUACAUCUGCAUCUGAAUUAAUUUGAAUUUAAAAAUAUUGUAAAUAUAACAUCCAAAUUUGUAUUCGACCGAAUACGUAAUUUUGAUAUUUGUAUUCACAUUUGAUCGAAUAUGGUGUUAGAUUCAAUCUGAGUUUAUCCUAAGUACUUUCACCCAUAAUUAGGGUGCACGGAUUUACAUUUGAUUUUUCAAGUGGAUGAAUCAUCUCCACUUCAUGUUAAAAGCAUUGAUGCUAAAAAGGCCUUUUAUAAGAAAUGAUAGAAAUUAAAUAGGCUUUGCCUUCUGUUUAUACAGACUCAUGCUAGUAAGAAUAUUCAAGAUUUCAUUCUUACCUGUAAGAAAGCUAAGGAUUUUGAAGGCAAUAGAGGAUUAGAUUGUCAGUUCUAAUAAAACUAAAACAGGUUAAAUUGCAUUGUUACCUCCUGAACUUUUGGCGAAGUUUUACUUUAUCCCUCGAACUUCUAAAAUGGACAUCUAACAUCCUAAACUCUAAUAUUUCAUUCAUGUUACCCAUUCCAUCAGUUUUCCGUCAAGCUCUGUUAACCAGAAACUGACAGAAGAGGUAAAACGAAUAAAAUAUUAGAGUUUAGAGUGUUAGAUGUCUAUUUUAGGAGUUUAGGGGGUUAAGUGAAACUCGCCAAAAGUUCAGGGGGUAACAAUGCAAUUUACCCCAACUAUAAUUUAUUUUUAUAUUAAAAAUUUCUAAUUGGUUGAAAUGAAGUACAUACAUUUUAUUUAAGUGUAUUUUCUAGGGCAAUACUUAUAAAGAUAAAAGAAACAAACGAGUACUAUAGAAAAUUAACUGAGAAUUAAAAUAUCUAUAUCCGAGUGAGGACACCUAUUGUAAAUCAACCAUAUUAGUGAAUACAUCAGGACAGCAUAGUGUUCGAGCAUCGUAGGUAGUUAGUAUCACUAUUUUCUUAUCUUUAAGCCACUCUAUUCAUUUCUUUCGCUUUUAUUACAAUAAAAUGUAGGAUAAAUUAUGUUAUGAUUUAUUUUAGGAUAAAAAUAUAUAUAAAUUCAAAAUGAAGCAUGAUCACUAACUUGAGGAUUAGCAGUCAAUCCAUAAGUAACAUAUUAUAAUAAAAUAAUUUAUAGUCAAGAGUCCUCUCGGGGUAAAUUUCAUUGCUACCUCCUGAACUUUUGGCGAGUUUCAUUUAACCCCUCAAACUCCUAAAAUAGGCAUUUAACAUCCUAAACUCUAAUAUUUUAUUCGUUUUACCCUUUCCGUCAGUUUCUCGUCAACGGAGCUUGACGAAAAACUGACGGAAAGAGUAACAUGAACGAAAUAUUGGAGUUUAGGGUGAUGGAUGUCCAUUUUAGGAGUUCGAGGGGUAAAGUGAAACUUCGCGAAAAGUUCAGGGGGUAACAAUGCAAUUGUGGCACAGGCCUGAGAUUAUAUGCUUUUUGAUCCAAGAGCCCGUGAGCCCAAGAGUUUGGGUCAUUUACAAUUUAGAGCAAUUGUGGCACAGGCCUGAGAUGUGCGGACCAACAUGGCUGAUUUCUGAUUGGAUACUUUUGUACUAGUUGUCCAGUUGAUGCAUGCAUAAAGUAGCAGUAGCGAUUUAUAUAUGUGUCCCGUUUCUUUGUUUAUCAUUGUUACUGUAUUACCGUUUUCUAUACUUUUGUUUAUUCUCCUUGACCGGUGAGUACCCCUGGCACUCGUCGGCUUGCGGUACCCACUAGGAAGGGAGAUAUGUGUACAUGUUCUCAACCCCCCCCUCCCCUCCCAUCCCUCCCCUCCCACCCCCUUUCAGGUGAUGUCGCGGGUCCGAGUGAGGACGGUUCGUGAGGCACACAACUUAGCAUUCGAUAUAGCUAUCGGCCCGUCGUUUUGGUCAAACUCCUCAAACCUGUCUUUUUAAUAAUUGACUUACUAUUUAUGGUUCAGUGGUUUCCUUUAUUUGAAUAAUUGGGAUUUUGCAAAUGUAAUAAAGAAUUUACGGACUUCUUACAAAAUGAAAAUGGUUUAAUUUCUACCCCUCGUGGUAGUGCAUUUUCAAAAGAAAAGGUUUCCGUAUUGGAAACGAUUUUUAAAAGGGUUCUUUUGGCUUUCAUGAUUCUUAGUGUUUCAAAAUAAGUUUCUGAAUAGAAAACAUUUGAAACUAUUAGAUGUGGAUGUAAAUAUCUGUGAUGAAAUAAAUGGUAAUUGUGAUGUGGUUAAUAUAUGUAAAUGUUCAUACAAUUAUUGUUGUAUCUUGUACAUAUGCGAUGCCGUGCAAAUAUAUAAAAGAUUCUGUCCAUAUGAAUAGUGGACUCCCUAUAUUUGUGACGGAUUUGGUAUACCCUGGGGGUCAAGGUUUUUUUUUUUUAAAAAAAAAAAAAAUUGGGCACUUCCGCAGUGGCUUUUAAAGCCAAGGGACUCCACGGCGUGACACCCAUUCGCGUCCCCCGGAUUGCGGUGCCCUCCCCUACCUUUAAUGUUACUCGCUUUCGGUGGUUCACCUCGAUUGCCCUCGGUUCGCUCCCGCUAAGGCACUUUCUUUGCCAAAGUGAUCGCAGAGUUCAGAUCCUUCACAUUUCGCCUCACGAGCUCUUUAUACAUCUAUGGUUGAAGGCCAUCCAGGAAGAAGAACAAUCGAUCCUCAUUGGCUAUGUUGGAGAUCGCCAACAUCAAUUUUGAGUAUUCUUGGACAUACUCCUUGAGUGUCCUACGAUGUUUGAGCUGUCGAAGUUGCCUCCACAUAAUAUAUUUGAUUUGCUCAAGGUAGAACUGCUGCACCUUGAGCUCGCACAUGAAAUCCUCCCAAGCGUUGAGUUGGCAGCAACCCUGCUCCGCCUCCACCAAUCGUUGACGCUUCCACAACAUGGCAUUAUCGGAGAGGUACAUGGCUGCGAUUUGGACCUUACCCUCCUUGUCUUCUAACAGCAAUGCUUUGAAAUAUAGCUCCAUAUGCUAAAGAAAAUUAGCAAUCUCCUUCUAAUCUUGUGUACCCUUGAAGUGUUGGGGGUUCAGGGACGCGGACCUUCAGGGUGUGCUCCUUUCGUGUCUCGACGCCACGAGCCAUAGUGUGCAACUAUCCAACACCUUGGUUAGUAUAUUGUGGGACUCUUAGUGAGUCGACUCAAAGUUAACUGGAUUUCGAAUGUUGACCUGCAAAGUCGGUGAUUCGACGGUUUUGGUUGUGAACUUUUGGUUCAGUAAAGAUGUAUCAAGUGGUUUGGUACUUCGAUGUGUCGCCCUUCCAACUUGUCGUUGGUAGUGGAUCUUCGAGUAUUUCGCUUUUCUUUUGAUAAGUAUAUUGGCUGCAAACAAUGUACUGUCGAAAGUUGGGACAAAAUACUCUUUUCCCCUUUAGGACUUUUGGAUUGGGUCGGUGUUGUCUCUUGCAAGACAAUCUCUAUAGAUUGUCUUGUGGAAAAACCUGGAGUGUUGGUCAUCUAUGACCACGUGGCGAGCCUUGGGGUAUUUCCUUGGCAGGUUUUGUGCAGUUGAUUUAUCGUCAUUGCAAAAAGUAUUGACUUUGGUUCGAGUCUGGGUGCUCGUUAGCUCUUUAGUUGUGCCUUUCACAACUAAAAGUUUGCGUUGAUUGGUAGUCUCGACUUUUUGCCGGGAGGUUCUGAAUCAUGAUUGAUGAGCGGCUUGAGCCUAGUUAUUGGCUUUGGUUGUCGCGGUAUGUGAUAGUGUAUAAGGUUUGUGACUCGGCUUAUCGUGCAAAUCUUGCAAUAGUAUGCUUGUCCGGUUAUUUGGUGACAGGUGUACCUAGGUCUCAAUGAGACAGGUGUUUGGUGGGUGGGAACAUCGACUGCUAGGGUCAGCGACAGGGUCUCGUGGAGAUAGGUGUUAGGCAUUAUCGAUAGUUAUUGUCGCAUAUUGCGAUUGGCAACCCUGUGCAUCAAGUGAUAAACUUGCAAGGAGCAUAUGUUGGUUUGAUUGUACUAGAUUAAGUUAUUGAGGAGACAAAAUUGUCGAGCUCAGUUGGUAUUGUCAGCCUUGGACCUUGUGACAAAGCGGAAGGUAAGGUCUUGAACCUAGGAGCGUCGAAUACUGUGGGUGGGUUUUCGAUACUAGGAGUUUGACCUCAGUUGUUUAUGUUUUAACUGGUAGGAGACUGUGGUAUCCGAGGUGAGUGCUAUUGACUCAAGUUUUAGGAUAAUGAUAUGCCUUCGCUCGAGAUGAGAUGGUUGGUGUUGUUGGCUAGUCGGAGUAUGUCGUUUCAACCUACGAAAAUAUACAUAUGAGUUGUGGUGUUGUCCCGUGACUUUUCUACGUGAACUUUCGGCGUAGAUGAGUCGGUUACUUCUACGCAGUCUAAGUUUGGGUAGACAUAGAGUUUCUGAGUAGUAAGUUAUUAUCUCAGAUUUGGCAAUUAUGGGAUCGGAUAACCCCAGUUGCGGAACAGUUUUGUCCGCAAGUUAUUGGAUGAUAUUGAUCCUUGUGGGUUUGAUCCAUAUAUAUUAGCUGGUAUAUUUCCCUCAUCUUGUCCGAGUGAAACUGUAGUUUAUUCUUCCCUUCUUCGGAGGUUGAUCUAUCUAGAUUCAAGGAAAUGUGACUGACCAGUACUCACAGGUGAUACCGCAGUAGUGGAGUGAUAUCCGAAUUCGAUUACGGUAGGUACGUGGUAAAGUUUCGGGGACGAAACUUCCUUUAAGGGGGGGAUAAUAUGAGGACUGGAAUUUUUGGGGGCAAAUAAAUCCUUUGUUGAGGAUGUUUUUGUGUAAAAUUUAAUUACAUAAGAACUCGACAAGUUUCAGGAGGAAACAAGUUAGGAUGGAGAAGUUACGUGACCUGUACUAAUCACUUAAGUGAAUAGUAACUCCGGUUUUUCGGAGAGGCCAAUCAGUAGAGAUGGCUUCUAGUGCAUAUUGGACUCCGUUCAUAGUGAUCCAAAAGCUCGUUUUCGACGGUUCAACUAUCCUGGACCCAAUGGAACAUACGAAAUUAAAUUUUGAUACACGAUUUUCGAGAAAAAGGGGGUUUAAUUGAUUUACACACACACACACACAUAUAUAUAUAUAUGUGUGUGUGUGUGUGUGUGUGAUUUUUGGAAACAUAGAGAUGGGAUGGGUUUCGUCGCAAAUCGGUGAUCAUAUCGGGUGAAAUGAAAUUGUGAGUUCGUUGCCCCAGUCGUACUGAACGCGCUGGUACGAUCCGAUCGAAAAUCCGACGGACGGAUCUCCAGGAAUCGCAUAAAGUCCGAUGAGGGGCCGAAAUUGGCGAAACGAAAAAUCUACGAAAAACCCAAUAUUUUAUGUAUCGUUUCGCGUGAUUUCGAAUGUCGAGGUGUGUAUGCGCAAAACGCUCGUGCUGUGAGGGACUUAGCUGAAAAUCCAAUCCUCAGAUAUGAAGGAUUGUUUUGCAAAAAUGACACUUGGUAUGUAAUGGAGCAAUUAGGGUUUCAUGCACGAAACCCUAGCCCUAGUUGUCCCAGCUCCCUCAGAUACGCCCAACCGUCCCCAGCACCCUCUUGCCCUAGCCGCGAGCGCACCCCGACCGCUGGCGAGGGACUCCGGCCGCCAGAAAAGUCGACGUUGCCUCUUCUCCAUCAUCAUUUCCACUAAGCUACUAUCUUCCUGGCCAUGGACCUCAAGGAGUUGACCACACGCGUCGGGCCCCCCUCCAUUGGUUGAUCCGCGGCCAUCAGCGGUUAGCACUGGCCGAGCUCAGCUGAACUCGAGGCCCGAGUACCGUCGCCGCCUUUCUGGGCCUCCGGCGACCACUCGCCUGCCGUCGCCGCCAUCCCCGCUGGCCGCCGCCACCGCCCUAGCUCCCUGCGGCAGCCCAGACGCAGCUCGACUUGAGGUUGCUGCACGACGCCACCGCCCACGGUCGAUCGUACCGCCCUCCUUCGGCCACCGGUGACUGGUCGCCGUCCCCCGGCGCUCCCUCGGCCGCCGCUCGGCCGCCGUUGCCCCAUGAGCCCAAGCCAAGUCUCACGGGCUCAUCCCUCUCCAUCGCGCCACCGGCCGCCUCCCGCCGUAGGCCAGCUCGUGCUCAGGCCCCCUCCGACCUGCCGCAGCCUCCCCCUGCCGGCGCGCCUGCCAUCCGGCCGCCGCCGGCCACCCUAUGCUCCACCAAGCUCCGGUGAGUAUAUUUAGUAUUUUCUUAGCACUGUUUGGGGUUUCGAUCGCUGUUUCAGCUAUCCGACGACACACUGACACUCCCAGAAGUGAGCACGACGAUCCUUGGUUUGUGUCGAUCAUCGUUCUCACCUCCUUUGGGGUCCGUGAAGCCCUGGAUUGCGAGAUAAGCGCCGUUUAGGCACUGUGCGAGCUGUUCACAGAAAUUUUUCCUUGCUUUUGCGCUCUCCACAAUGGUCGGCCUUGCUCUAAAGCGCGAGAACGGCCUCCGGCACGUCAAGACCUGUCAGCGGGUGUCUCAACCAAGCUCGAAAGUCCUCGGUUUGCGCUGUCGGGCUGUAAAACCCAAAAAACCACAUGAAAUAAUGUGAUUUUAGACAAUCGCGGGGGCUUAUUUGUAAAUGUACGUUUUGUGGCUGCUGUGGGUAGUGUGUGCGGGCAGCGGAUGACCUCUGGACUAGUUGUCCAAGGCCUUAGGGCUUUUAGGAAAUCGAAUGUCGAUUUUCGGUGCGUUUUUCGGUGAAAUCUGCCGACAGAACGCGAUUUCGGUUCAGAAUUCUUCCGACGGUACCUCACUGUAGAUCAUGUUGUCGUUGAGCCUUGUUGGCUAGCCAACCGCGUCGUUUCGAGGGUUUGAAGACGAUGGGUGAGCGACAGUGGGUUCCAGUGUCGAAAUUGACACUUUCGAGAACCCAGAUCGGAACAGUUAUCCGACGAUAAUCGUUUCGAUGUGAGGAUAUGUGUUUGCUGCCAAGUCACACAAAUUAUUUUGUUUAGUGGCAGCGGGUGACUUGUGGCACGAGUCGGUGAGUUCCGGGACAGUUCGUGCGUCUCGGCAGAGUCUCGGUGCGAUUUUCGGGACUUCCGGCGAGUUAUGGUAAUCGAUUUUGGGAAACCGAUCCCUGGAUUUAUAGAUGGGAUUGUGAGUUAGUGGUUCUUAUCUGGGUUGGAUUUUAAUCCGGUGGACCCUUCGUAGGUCCGGUUGAUAUUCUUCCGCAGUUGGAAGAAUAGUGCUACGUACAUACGGGUGGGUACUUCAACCCAAAGUCGGUACAGUGGUGCACACUCGGUGACAUCUUUUUACCAUUUUUCCUGUUAUUAUCCUGCAUAUACGUUACGUUGAGCCUAGCACUUUUGUUAUUCCUUUUACGCUCUACUUUGUUGUUUUCAUGUUUAGUAUCAUGAGUAGAAGUAGAGCAGAUUUAUGAUUACAUGUGAGAUCUGUAACCUAGUCGGUCGGUUCUUGUAUCUCGUACUGUGACGUAUUUGGUCGAUUCAUUGCAUCUGUUAUUGUGAUCUACUUGGUGGGUUGGACUACUUGGUGACCUACACGAUCAGUAUACCUUGAGGGAUUGGAUUGUCGGCUAGUUGCUGAUAUUUGGCUAUUGAGCAUAUCAGCAUCGAUCGCCACUGCUCAUACGCAUUUUACGAACACCAGCAGUCUGAUCCACCGCAAGAAGAUAUUCUUUUCCGAAAAAGUGGUUCGGAAUGUCAGUCCGUAAGCCCAAGAGUUUAUGCUGGGGUUAUAUACUUUCAGACCGAAGAGCUUAUACUUGGGUCAUUUACGGUUUAGAGCAAUUGUGGCACAGGCCUGAGGUGUGUGGACCAACAUGGCUGAUUUCUGAUUGGAUACUUUUGGACUAGUCGUCCAGUUGAUGCAUGCAUACAAUAGUAGUAGUGGUUUAUAUAUGUUUCCCGUUUCUUUGUUUAUCAUUGCUACUGUAUUACCGUUUUCUAUACCUUUGUUUAUCCUCCUUGACUGGUGAGUACCCCUCGCGCUCGUCGGCUUGCGGUGCCCACCAGGAAGGGAGACAUGUGUACAUGUUCUCACCCCCCAUCUCCUUUUAGGUGACGUCGCGGGUCCGAGUGGGGACGGUUCACGAGGCACACAACUUAGCAUUUGAUAUAGCUAUCGGCCCGUCGUUUUGGUUAAACUUCUCAAACCUGCCUUUUUAAUAAUUGACUUACUAUUAAUGGUUCAGUGGUUUUCUUUAUUUGAAUAAUUGAGAUUUUGCGAAUGUAAUAAAGGAUUUAUGGACUUCUUACAAAAUGAAUAUGGUUUUCUACCUCGCGUGGUAGUGCGUUUUCAAAAGAAAAUGUUUCCGUGUUGGAAACGAUUUUAAAAAGAGUUAUUUUUGCUUUCAUGAUUCUUAGUGUUUUAAAAUAAGUUUUCGGAUAGAAAACAUUUUAAACUAUUAGAUGUGGAUGUGAAUAUCUGUGAUGAAAUAAAUGGUAAUUGUGAUGUGCUUAAUGUAUGUAGAUAUUCAUACAGUUAUUGUUGUAUCUUGUACAUGUGCGAUGCCGUGCAAAUACAUGAAAGAUUCUGUCCGUGUGAACAGUGGACUCCCUGUAUUUGUGACGGAUUUGGUAUACCCUGGGAGUCAAGGUUUUUUUUUUAAAAAAAAAAAAUUUGAGCACUUCCCCAGUGGCUGUUAAAGCCAAAGGACUCCACGGUGUGACACCCAUUCGUGUCCCCUGGAUUGCGGUGCCCUCCCCUACCUUUAAUGUUACUCACUUUUGGUGGUUCACCUCGAAUGCCCUCGGUUCGCUCCCGCUCAGGUACUUUCUUUGCCAAAGUGAUUGCAGAGUUUAGAUCCUUCACAUUUCGCCUCACGAACUCUUUAUUCAUCUAUGGUUGAAGGCCAUCCAGGAAGAAGAACAAUCGAUCCUCAUUGGCUAUGUUGGAGAUUGCAAACAUCAAUUUUGAGUAUUCUUGGACAUACUCCUUGAGUGUCCUACGAUGUUUGAGCUGUCGAAGUUGCCUCCACAUAAUAUGUUUGAUUUGCUCAUGGUAGAACUGCUGCACCUUGAGCUCGCACAUGAAAUCCUCCCAAGCGUUGAGUUGGCAGCAACCCUGCUCCACCUCCGCCGAUCGUUGACGCUACCACAACAUGGCAUUAUCAGAGACGUACAUGGCUGCGAUUUGGACCUUACCCUCCUUGUCCUCUAACAGCAAUGCUUUGAGAUAUAGCUCCAUAUGCUAAAAAAAAUUAUCAAUCUCCUUCUAAUCUUGUGUACCCUUGAAGUGUUGGGGGUUCAGGGACGCGGACCUUCAAGGUGUGCUCCUUUCAUGUCUCGACGCCACGAGCCACCGCUUUCUCAAGGAUAGUCAACCCACAUUUUGAGGUCCUCGACCUUGUCAAUGUUGGUGACAAGGUCCUCCAACAAGGCCUUCUGCUCAUCCUCGCAACGAGCGAGGUCGCUGCCGAACUGUUUAAGCUGAUGGCGAAAAGUUGCCAUGGCAACCGUGACGUUGUCCUCCAUGACAUUUAGCCCUUCCUCCAUCAUCCCCAUAUAUUGGGAUAGGACAGAGUAGUGCUCCUCUACUCUCGCAGAUGAGUCCUCCAACAAGCCCAUGCAGUCCUUGAGCGGACAAAACUCCUUCGCAAGGAUCUGCGGCUCUUUGUUCUUGCUGCGCUUGGGCACUCUAGGUUCAAGCACAGUGUCAACGAUGGCAACAUCCAACGUAGACAUGGCUUUCAAGCUCCAAACUCGCUUUGAUGCCAACUGUCAUAGACUUAAACGAAAUCACUUGUCUAGCCUAUGCGGUGCUUGCCUUCCUUCGUGAAGUGAGUAAGCCUAUCUCUCAACUUGCUAAGUUGGGACCCACUCGUCCUAAAACUAAGUACAAAAGAGAGAGUUUUUGAGGAAUGUUGUGUACUGAUAAGAGAAAGAUAAAGGAUUACAAUUAAUUUUCUGAGGAGUGAGGGUGGAGGCCACAACUUUUGACCCUUCGGCAUCCGCGUCAUCAGUCUUGAAACUCGCAUAAAAACUUUUAGUAUGUCCCAGCAAAACCUCCGAUAGAACUUUCCUUUAAAGUAUAGGCGAUUGCAAUGGAAAAGUCAGCAGAAAAUACUUUGUCCGUGAUAGCAGGCUCCUUCACGGGAUCCGUCACUAGUAAUGUACGAUAUGCUAGCUUUACACCUGGUGCAAUACGUAGGGGCUGUGGAGGCUCUCAAUUUAUGUACAUCGCCUAAUUUAGUAUUGGACGGAUGUAGUGCACUAUAUAGUAGAUUAGAGAAUUUUAAUUUCCAAUUUAACAGUAUGUUGGAAACUUUAUAAUUUAUGAUAUAUAUAUAUAUAUAUAUAUAUAUAUAUAUAUAUAUAUAGAGAGAGAGAGAGAGAGAGAGAGUGAGAGGCGAGAGAGAGAGUAUAGUUACUAUGCUAUCGGAAGCAUAGAGGAUCUGGUGCUUUCGAAUUUUUGGCCCUUAGAUCAACCUCUUUGAUCAUUUUUAACCUUUGAGUUAAUACUAUUAUCUUGUAGGGACCACUCAACCCUUAAGGUACUACUCAACCUUAGAGAGGACCGCAACCAUCCCGAUCGUACAAUUCUUGAUCCAAGGGUCAAAAAAGUCGGAAGCAUUAACUCCUCUAUACUUCCGAUAGCAUAGUAGCUCCACAACACACACAAAUAUAAUCUUUUCGCAUGCCAUUGAAUCUAUCAUAAUAAUUUGAACUAGUGAAGUUACCCAUGCGUUGCGGUGGACUAAUGCUAUAGAAGGCAGAAGAUUAACAAAGUAAAAAUUUUAUUUUUUUUUGAAUUGCCAUAAAGCAUUAAUAAAUAAAGAUAAUAUAUAUUAAUAUAUAUACAAAUAGAAGAGAUGAAACAUAUAUAAGUACAAAUGUAACAAAACUUACAAUUUUAGUAAAUAAAUUAUAACAAUAGUAAUGAAAGAAAUAGCAAUAGAAUUAUUACUCCAUAUGCAUCUUGAUCACAUUGCCGACAUCGAGAAGACGAAUCCCGAUCUCCACAUCACCUUUGCCUCCAUUGUUGACGUCGACCACCUUUUUCGUCACAGUCACGUCGAUCACAUACGGAUCUCUCCAAACCUACCACUUCUUUCUCCUCAGUGACUCCAAAUAUAUCUCUGCUUUCCCCUGCGAUGCCGCGCCACAAUCCGCGGAACCCUAAUUUCAGUCCACAUAUAAUUCAAAAAUAGGAAGAUAAAAAGCUUAAAAAUAUUACAAGCGACAAAAAAAGAGAAAGAAGAGUACGAAGAAAUCUUAUUUUACUUUUUUUUUUUCUUAUGACAGCAAUUUGUUUAUAUGAAAUUGGAUCGUGUGACCACAUUAAUUGGGAGGUAAGCGGUUGGGAAGAUGAAGUAUCGUGUAGAAAUGGGGUAAGAAGAUGAAUCAUCAAAAAGUAAGAAGAUCGAAGAAGGUAAGGAUGAAGGAGGGACUGCCACGUGGCAACUUCAUGGAAAAUAAUAUAUAGGUAUAGAUAGAUGUUAAUUAUAAAUCCUCUAUAAAUGAAAUUUAAAAGUGUAAUACGCACUCCAAUCAUCAAGUGCAUGUAAUAACUACGCCAGCUACAUUAUAAAAAGGGAAAACUUUAAAUACCACAACACUUUCUCUUUUUACUACUCUGUGAUUUAAGCUGUAUCAUCAUUUUAUUACACUAUGGUUUCGUUUUUUUUCUUUCCGUUAUUCCCUCAAUCAAUUUUUCUGUUAAAUCAGUAAAAAAUUAAAACACAGGAUACUAAAGUAAAAAAUUUUGCAAACCACAUAAUACUAAAGUUAAUAUUCGAUAAAUUACAGGAGGAGUAUCUAAGUUUUUUUAUAUUUUUUAACGUAGAUGUAACGGAGGUGCCGAUAGAAAGAGAAAAAUAAAACCACAGGAUACUAAAGAGAUUCAUUUUAGACCACAUGGUACUAAAGUAAGAAAAUGCUAAACCAUAUGGGAGAUAUUUGAAGUUUCUCUUUAUAAAAAUAUAAUGUAUGCUGCAAUUAUUACAAAAUUUGUACAUUAGAAUAAUCAAAAUAACUCUCUCCAUUGUAUGUUCCGUUAUCAAUAACAGGAAUAUCCGUUGAGAAUGAAAUUAGCAAAAAAAAAAAAGAAAGUUUUUUCCUCAUUUAAUAACAUAACUUAAUUAAAUUAACAAAAUUCUCAAAAUCACGUAUAUAAAGUAGCAAGUUUGUAAAUACAGCUCCCAAUUGUGUGAAACUUAAUAAAUAAUUUAUAGUUAUAGUACUUUCUACUUUAUGCAACCAAAAAAGAUAAUGUGGUCUAAACUCUUGCAUUUUAAUUGCAUGUAUUUUUAGUUACAUUAAUUGUAAUUAUAAUUGCAUCCAACCAAAUGGCACUUCAACGUAGCGAAUCCUCGACGCUCGAGAGAAAGAGAGGAAAAAAGAGAGAGAGAGAGAGAGAGAGAGAGAGAGAGAGAGAGCAGGACAGAGGGGGGGGCUGGGGGUAGGAGAGGGAGAGAGGGGGUGAGAGAAGUAGAGAGAGGACCACGGGGAGAAGAGAGAGAGAGAUGAGAGAGGAGAGAGAGGGGCGAGAGACGAGAGAAGGUCUCUCUCUCCCUCUCGCUUCAGCGUGGGGGUGCUGCCUCCCGCACAUGCCCACCCUCCCUUCCCGCCUCUCCCCCGGUUCUCCUCACUCCUCUCUUCCCUCUCGCCUCUCCCCGCACAUGCGUCGGAAGACCGCGCGCACCAGGCGGGUGCGGGCCGCCCGGGGGGGUUCCGGCCCUGCACCGCGCGCACUCUUCCCCCCUCCUCGUCUCCUCAUUUACCUCUCCUCCACCACGGCUCCCCGCCCCCCCUCAUUGUCACGCGUUCUCUCACCCGCUAUUUUCCUACCCCCCGGUCUCUCUGCUCUCCCCCCUCUCCCCAGCGGGCGGCAGCAGGAACUGGAAGCGGAGGCGGGGCCGCGGGUGGGUGGAUUAUAAUAAGAUAAAAAUAAUAGUUGAAUUUGCAUAUAAAUAAGGUAAAUUUCAAUAUGCCUCUUGUUGUGAUCAUCUCGGGUUCAAAAAUUGCCCUUAUACUAAUAUAUCUUGAAAAUUAAUGCUUGUAUUUUAUGCUAAAAAAUAUACAUACUAUCAAAUAGGAUAGGCAAAGUAAAUCCUUUGAUAACCACAUGAUAGUUAAACAUAAUUUUUGAAUGCACAGAAUGGCAAGAUAUGAAAUGGGAUUUCAAACAUAUGAUAAUUUUAAUGUGUAAUUUUUGGGACUCUUAGUGCAUGAUUAAAUAAAAAUAAGUCCAACAACAUGGAGGCAAAUUAAAGUUUACUCUGAAAAAAUUUUUAAAAAAAAAGUUCUUGCCGUAAGGCAUGUGGCCUUUCGGUAGUGAUGCAACAUGCAUUAUUAAUGACUGACUGUAACCGACCGUCCUAGCGCAAGUGCCAAAGAAUUUAGUGGAUUGGUACCCGAGGUCCGCAAGUUCUGAACGCGCCUAGUUGAUUCACAUUUCUAGCUAAAGUUUAUUUCUAAAUGAAAAUAGAGAAAAAGGCGGAUUUUAGUAUGCUUACUUAUCUCUAAAAAAAAAAAAAAAAAAAAAAAAGACUGACAUGGGAUGAGAAGUACCUGUCAAGCUAUAUGUUGCAGAAUGUUGUAGACUCCGAUAUGUAGGUGAACAAAUUAAUGCAAAUGCUCUUUUUUGACUAAGCAUGCAUGGGACCAUUUGAGUAGGAGAAGGAUCAAUUCAUUUAGUAGUGGGGCUAGAAUACUAGUAAUAGUAGCUACCGAGUUAUUAAUUGCCACCAAUUUUUCAGCUCUUGAAUCCAGUCACAAUAGUGGUGAACUCUCUACUGUGCAUGGAUCAAAGGAUCAAAAACUAAAUAGUAACUAGUUUUUGCUACUAUUGCCAACUACUAUAGAAAAAAAAAAAAGAAAAAGAAAAAAAAGAAGCAAAGCUAUUCAUUUUACACACCUAAAAAGGAGUAUAAAUCAUAAGUUGCACGUAAUUAAAAAGUGAGAUUUUUUACAGGUCAUAUUAUAUGACAAGUAAACAAAUUCGAUCUGCCCAUUAGAUAAAUGUGUGUACAGUAUAAACUUUCAGAUCGGGUGUAUGUAUUGCUUUUUCUAGAAAAAAAAAGAGAAGAAAAGGAAGACGCUACUUUAACUUUCAGGUCUUGUCGUCUAAGGUAUCAUUUGAUUCGAAAAUAAUUUUUUAUCAUCACAUGCAAACAUGGCUUUAGCAAGCCACGAUAUGGUUUAAUAAGUUGGCAUGCACUAUCUAUCUUUUCUUUCUAUAAACAUUUAAAAAGAAAAUUGAAAUAACACACGGCGACACGCGUACCCCAUCCACCCUUCUCCUCCAUUACGAGAAAAAUUAUCUUUCUAUCCCUAAUUUAAAUUAAUUUAAUUAAUAACCGGGAUAAGAAACUUCUAUCAAAGUAUACAUAAAUAAACUAAAUUUACUGCUAAAAAUAUUUUAUAUCCGCCAAAUGUAAGAUACAAUUAAUUGAGUUAAGUGAGGAUGCUACUAAUAGAACCAUCACCUUAAUUUGUAGUGUAAAAUCAUUUUUAGCGAUGGGACAUUUGAAUCGAUAAUUAACAUAUCCAACACGGUUUGAAACAUUAGAACUUUCCAAAAAGCAAGUGUGAUAAUUUGUAAGAAUCAUUUUCAACUUCAAAAAGCAACCGCAAAGCAAACAGUUGAAAUCGAACAAUCUAAUCUUAAACCACAUCGCAUGCCAAAAUAUAUAGUCAAUUUUGUAGCACCUUGAUCACUUAUAAGUAAAAAAAAAUCUGACAAUGUUAGUUCUUGUAUAUUGUGAAAAUUCCAUUAUGUAGUAUAUAAUUGAUACAAACAUCAAGCGUGCAAUUUCAAGUAACUUGAAACCUAACUUGGUAUAAAAUUUAAAUCUUUAUCAAAUUCCUCAUUUUUGUAUACAUAUAUCCACCAUGCAGUACAGACGCAACUAGCUGAAGAAGAAGACAUUAAUUAGGAAAGCGCAUGCAGAUCCGAAAAGCUAUUUUAUACUACAAAUCGCACUACACAUGAGAUAUAUAAACUCAUGAACAUCACAUCCUCUUCUAGCUCUAGUUCUAGUUCUAGUUCUAGACUUAAAAUAAAAAUAAAAAUAAAAAUAAAAAUAAAAAAUCAGAACCGUUUCCAUCGGAACCUGGUCUUGUCAAUGCUACUAAUUUACAAUGUUAACUAAUUAAUUAGCUUUGUUAUUGUAAGCUACAACAACCCUAUUUUCGGUGGUAGUAGGAGCUCUAAAAUGUAGAUGGAUAUUUACAGAAACAAAUUUGUUCGAUCUGAUCAUAAUGCAAAUUAACAAUGGUACGUAGUAUUAAAUAUUACCUAUGGCGGCUAGCUAGACAUUAGUAAUUUGACGCCUUGGAAGCCUCCGACUGCGAGAUCGACGUGGACGACGAGGAAGUCGUCCGCGGCCGCGAGAAGAAAUCGGACUCGUCGAAGAGAUCGAGGAGGCGGCGGCGCCCGCAGUCGCGCGCGCCGUCGAGCGCCCGGAGCAGCGCCUCGGCCUUGGCCUUCCCCCGCGCGCUGCCGCCGCCGCCGCCGCCGUCCGCCAGCUCCCUCACGACGUCCUCCGCGCCCUCGACCUCCCGGACGUCCCCCGCGGCCUUCUCGCCGCCGGCCAUGACGAGGUUGAGCAGCGCGGCGGCGGCGUUCUCGCGCGUCCGGGCGGUGGCCCCCGUGGCGGGGUCCAGCAGGUCGACGAGCACCCGCACCCCGGCCACCCGGCGGAAGGCGUCCACGCUCUCGGCGCACCCGGCGACCUGCGCGACGACGGCGGUGGUGUCCUCGACCAGGCCGCCGCGCCCGACCUUGACCACGAGCGAGAAGAGCGCGGGCACGGCGCCGAGCUCGACCAGCGCGGGGCGGUUGAGCGGGUAGAGCGCGACGCCGAAGAGCGCCUUGAGCGCGUCCUUGAUGGAGCGGGUGGGGGCCCCGGGGGCGCGGAGGAGCCCGACCAGGGACGCGAGGAGCGGCCGCUUCGACCCGAUGAUGGGGCGGUAGGCCUCCACGGCCAGGAGGCUGUAGAGCGCGGCGGCGGCGUGCUGGGCCGCGCCGGCCGACGACGGGUGGCGGAGGGCGGCGCCGAAGGCGUCCAGGAUCCCCGGCGUCGACAUGACCGCCUCGCGCUCCGAGAUCGAGAGGUUCAGGAGCGCCGCGGCGGCGUCCUCGUGCGAUGCGGCGGCCGAGUCCGAGAGCAGGCGCGCGGCGAGGAGGGGGAUCGCGCCCGCGUCGGCGAGCGGGGCGCGGGUCUCGGGGUCGUGCUUCGACAGGAGCCGGAUCUCCGACACGGCGGCGCCGACGGACUCCUCCUCGUCGUCGGCGGCNGCCGCUGGACCAGCGAUCGCGCCGUGCGGAGCUUCACCUCCAUCCCUACCCACAACCACGCCCCCAAUAAACAAUAACACCAAAAAACAAAAAACAAAGCCCUCUCUUCUCCUUAAUUAUGAUUAAUUAAUUAAUUAAUUAAUAGCUAAACAUUAGAGCGGAGAAAGAAAAGAAACGUUGUUUUCUUAAAACGUAAUGCGCGAUGUGUCACGCUUUAGCGAGAGGGAAUCGGACGAUUAAGGAAGACCUCUCACGAAACAGGAAACAGCGAUUCGGACUUCUCUCAAAUGAAAAGCGAACGCGUGUGCGAAAAUGAGUGGGGCCCCGUCGAAUUUCUCGGAAAUUCAAUUUUUUUUUUCGGUUACUUGUAUUAGUGGGGGAUUAAUAAAAGGCUCGGAGAAUCAUUAUCGGGUUAAGUGAGGACGCGGACCUAAUUCGAUGCGCGUGGACGGAUUCCCCCCCCAGUAUAUAAGGGGUGAGAAAUGUCGAGGGUUAGUUUGGUACUAACGUCAUUUUAAGCUAUUAAAUAAAAUAUAGUUGUGAUAAAAAUAUAUAAAAAUAUAUUUUUACAUUCUUUGAUUAAUCACAAAAAAUAUAUCAUAACCGAUUUAUCGCGAUAUGCGGAAUAUAAUAUUACGUACGAAAAUAAACAGAAUAUUUUUUUUCUUAUUUUUUCACAGUAUGUAACGCAAUCUUUCCAUAAUUCCAAACGAAAGCUAAAUCUAUAACUAAAACCAACAUUUAAAGUGAUAAGAGUAAUAGAGAAAAAAAUAUAUUUUUAGAUGAGGAUGUUGGAGGAUUAUAAUUUACUUUGAGUUGUGGAUCUAUCAAGGCAUGCACAUAAGAUAUUAAUUAAAAUUAUACAAUUCUCUCGUGGGAUAAACCUACUCGUUUCAUUCAUUUUUUAUUAAAAAAAAAAAACUCAACUAUAAAUAUAAAACAAGUAGGAUUUAAAUUUGAAAUCUCAGUACCGACCAACAAAGUUUUACUUUAGUUUUUCUUUUUUAUUUAUUUAAGUAUUUUCUGGUCUUUUAGAUUUAUAUCAAAUUAGCUUAUUUUAUAAUUUUGAUAUUAAUUUAGUAAUUAAUGAAGCUAAAAUAUUUUUGAUAGUAAAGAAAUAAUAUUUACUAUCUACUGCAUGUUUAUCAUCCUUUAGAUGUCUAUGAAUUUGUGGUGGUAUAUGAAAACCUAUAAAUUUGAGGGCUAUAAAAAAAAAUAUUCUGAAUAUUCAAUAAGUAUUUUCGAAUCCAUAUAUACAUUAAAAAUUGGAAUUAGACUUACAAUUCUGCAAUAUAGAUAGAUCAGUUUCUUUGAACAAAACUUGUUUUAACUUUAAGGCCCUCUUCAGAUGGCUGAAUAAGAUAUCUAAUAUCUAAUAAUAAUUAUUUUUAUGUGAUUAGAAAUAGAGAGUUUAUUUUUUAAAAAAAUACGUUUUUCGAAAGGCCUUUGGCCAGCAUGAUUUCGUAGGAUAAUAUAUUUUAUCUAUUACGCAAUUUAUUUUAUUUUUUAAAAAAUAACUUAAAGACUAAAUAUGAUAUUUAUUCUAUAUAUUUGACAACAAUUCUCUUGGAUCAAUUACUUCUUCAAUAAAUUUAGAUAACAUAUUUAAGUAUCCAAAUAAACCUACAUGACUUUAAUUUUAAAUAUCUUAUUAAAGCAUACAAACCUAGUAUCCACAUGUUUUUUUUUUUUUGUCAAAAAAUUUACAAUUGAUGAUUGAAUGGGCUAAUUAAAUGUAUUUAGAAAUAUAAGUCCAUGAAAUGUUAAGUUUAUUUUCGAAAAAAUAUGGACCGCAAUGAAAUUUAGUACAAAUGUCGGGGCAACCUUUUUAAUUUAAGGUCUGUUUGGUUCAACGUAAAACUGUGAAAAAUAAUUCUUCGUAAAAAAAAAUUUUGUCGGAAAUUUUUUUUACAUUUUAUAGUGUUUAUUUUGUAGAAAAAAAAAAGUAUUUAUAUAUAUAUAUUUAUUUUGUUUGGUACAAAAAAAAGAAUGUAAAGAGGUUUAUCCUGCUUAAGUUUUCAUUUUUCGUCGAACAAUAACGAAAAAUAAAAAUUUUAAAUUUUUUUAAAUUUGUAAAAAUAUUUAUUAUAAAAAUAUUUUUAUGCUGAAUCAAACAAAGUAAGAAAAUAUUUUUUAUAUAAAAAAUAAUUUUUCAAUUAACUUAACAAGCCUUAUUGACCUCCGCGGGGGCAAAGUUGGAAAUAGGGAUGCGGUUCUGAGGAAAUGAUACGGGACAAAGGUUGGUGGAGGAGAUGGGAACGGGGGACAAGUAAGCGGGUGGGAAAAGCAGGGCGACCAAUCUUGGAACCUCUCUGACUAAUUUGCUCCGCUGGUGUCAUAACUACGACUACUUUGCGUGCAAAUGACGCUUUAAUGGGAGCAAUUAAUUAAUUAAUUAAUUAAUUGCCCGGUUCGUGGUCUACCACGUGAUCAUCGGAUUUGACUAGUGGAAAGUAUAUUAUGGAGAUAAUUUUGAAAGAAAUGCCACGUGGAUACCUAUAACAACUAGGUAUUAAUCUAACACCUCCAAGUAGAUACGGUAAACAGACUGGAUAACCGGCGGCUGGAUCAUUAUAUCUAUGGAUCGUAUAAGUAUGAAUAAAAUUUAUUCAUAAAUUUUUAGAUAAUCAAUAUUUUUAUUCAGCCUACAUGCGGACGGGCGGGUAUGCGGAUUACUGGCAAGUUUUUCUUUUUCUUUUUUAUUCCUAUACUUUUCAAAUAUAAAACCUAUAUAUAAAACUUUCAAAAACAUAACAUAAUUUCUUAUUUGAAAUAUCAUAACAUAUAAUAAAUAAUAUAAAAUCAUAAAAAUAUUUUAUCAUACUGAGUUUUCAUGAUACAAAAUUAAUAAAUUUUUUUAUCAUUAUAGAGUCAAUAUUAUAAAUAUUACAUAUUUUUUUAAUUUAAAAAUGUAUAUCCGGGUAGCCGUGGAUACCCGCAGAUUGCCUAAAAUACCCACUAUUUAACGGGUAUCCAUCCGUUUUAUCUAUAAUUUUUUGAGUAAGAAAAAUUAGAAUUCCUAGCCACAAAUUUGCGAGUAACCCACGGGCAUCCGCGGGUAUAGGUAGAAAUUGCCAGGUCUACCUCCAAGCAUCUAAAGAUUGGUAAAAAUUCUUUACAUUUUUAGUUCUAAAAAGUAUUAAUACAAUAAGUAGAGAAUUGGAACCCUUCAUAAAAAUAGUGUAAGAUUUAUAUAUAAUCUAGAGGUGUAUCCUCGGCAUUACUUGAUAAUUUUUAUUUGAAAAAUAUUAUCUGUACAUCUAUAAUAUAGGUGUAAACUUACACUCUUGAUAUUUAAGAAUUUGCAAAAAUUCUUUAAAAGAGUUUUAGGGUGUGUUUGGUUCGAAGUCGGAAUGGAAAUCGGAAACAGAAUGGAAAUAAGCUGGAAUCGGAAUCGGAAUGACUAUUUAUCUCAUUCUGUUUGAUUCGCCACCUGAAUCGGAAUCAAAAUAAAUCAUUCCUAUUGUCAGUGUUUGGUUCAGAUAGUUAUCAGAAACGAAAUCAAAUUAAUAUACCAAUUUUACCCUUUAUAAUAUAUUUUAAUUACUUUUAAUUAUUUUGAAUACUCUAUUUAAAAUUUAAAUGAGUAACUUACAAAAUAAUGAAUAAAAAGUAAAAACAUUUUAUAUUUUAUGUUAUUUAAUAUGAAAUUAAACUAGUUAUUAUUAUUUUUAUUAUAAUAAUUACAUGAUAAUAUAUAAAUUAUAAAAUUUCAUAUGACUUAAAUAAAUAGAAGAGUUAACAAGGAAAAAAAAAAGCAUGGUCUUAAUUAUAAUUAUUAGUGUUCAAAUGAUUUUUUCUUUUUUUCUUUUUUUUUUUUAAGUCCAAUUCAUGUAUUUUAGGAUAAUAACAAAAAAGUAGAUAAGAAAGAGAUUAGAGAGAAAAGUGCGAGGAAUUCUUACGGAUGAAGCUUGGGGAGAUCGAGCGGCGCGGGCAAGCGAGGGAGAGACGAGUGGCGUGGAGCGAGGUUUUUUUUUUUUUUUUUUAAGUUGUACCGAUGAAGGUUAUUUUAGUAUAAGAUAAUUAAGUCGGAAUUCAAUUUUCAAUCCGGGGUACGAGGCCGGAUUCAUUUCUACCCGGAUUAGCCCAUUCCCGUUCCGAAAUGGAAACGGAAUCGGAAUGAGAUUACGGCAUACCAAACAUCUAGAAUUGGAAUGGAUCAUUCCGAUUCCGAUUCCGAUUCCAGGGUUAAUAUUUAGCGAAUCAAACACGCCCUUAGUUUAAAAACCAGAGAAUGAAUUUAGAUCUUUGGAUAGAUGAAGUGUAAAUUUUAUCCUUAAUCUAAGGAAUGUACAGCCGUACAGCUAGUAUUGCUAUUUUUCUUAUAGACUGUAGCUAUACAGAGAGUGGGAAAAAUGCUACAUGCAUACCUAUUUGUAUAAAUCUUAUACUUUAUUUUAGGAUUGACAGAAAAUUAAAUAGAUUUAGUAAAGAAAAAAAAGAAAAAGUUGCUAGGACUAGAGAGAAACAAUGGGUCUUUGGAUAGAUGGGAUGCACAAUGCACACAUAGGCCUAUUUUGAUAAUGUAGUGGCUAAAAAUAUAAAUAUAUUUAUACUAUAGAAGAAUCAAAAAAUUUUAGAAAUGCUUACAAUUUUUCUUCCUCCAAUAUUUAAAAAUUGCUUUGGUGGGGCGGCUCUUAUCACAAUCAUUUUAUAUAGAAACAAAAAUACUAAAUUAAAGAUCAUGUUAGAUAAAAGUACAAGAACAAAUUUUUUUUAGUAGUGGUACCUAUGUAUUUCAAAGAUGGUGUAAAUUAUACACUCUACAAAUUUUAAGGAUCGGAUUUUCUCACUAGUCACAUUAAUAUAACUAGUUAAGAUAUCUCAUCUCAGGAUAGGUGGGAUGUAUGAUUAAUACUCCAAGAAAAAAUAUACCUAUAGUAUUUCUUAAUAUUUUUAGCACAAUUAUUUUAAUAUAAAAGCUUUUUUGUAUAAAAUAUUCACAGGUUUUACAAUUUUGCAAAAUCAAACUGUUUUUCUAAAUUUUGCAUAUUUGGGCUGGAUAUUUAAAAAGUGAUCAAAUUAUCUUUAUUUUUUUUCACUCUUAUUUCUCUCUUAUACGUUUCUCUCCCCCUGCUUAAUCUCUCUCCUUCUUCUCCUCCACCGCUCCGAUAUUGCCAUGCUCCUUUCAGCCUACCACGCCAACGUCUCCACCGCCGCCGUUGCGUUUCUACCAGCUUAUCUCAUCCCAAUAAAUAGACAGCAAUGAGGUCAUUCUGGAUGAAGAGCUCUAUGGCAAGGCCUCAGCGAAGGACGUGGCCGUGGAUGGUGACGGCUGCGAGAGUGCUAUAGGAUUUAAGAACAAUGAGGAUAGAGAGUGUGUCGGGACAAGAGCAGGGGAAAUAGUUGUAGAACAUGCGAUGGAAGAAAUAGAGAGCUAGGAAGGGGACGUCGUAGUGCGAGAAGAUGCAUAGUGCAGAGGAAAAAAAAAAGAAAAAAGAAGAAAGAGAAAUAAAUAUAUAUAUAUAUAUAUAUAGAGAGAGAGAGAGAGAGAGAGAGAGAGAGAGUUGGACUAGAAUACUAUUGAUAGCAAAAUGCCCUUUUGCUAUUAAGUUUUUAGCUUUCGGAUCAAUUUCUUUCAUCAUUUCUAACCAUUGGAUUAAAUAUUAUAACCCAGUGGAAACCACUCAACCCUAGGGAGACCACUCAACUCUAAGGAACUAAUAUGAUCCUAACCCUACAAUUUUUUAUCCAAUGGUUAAAAACUUCAUAGCAAAAAGGGUAUUUUGCUAUCAAUAGUAUUCCAGCUCAACUAUAUAUAUAUAUAUAGAGAGAGAGAGAGAGAGAGAGAGAGAGAGAGAGAGAGAGAGAGAGAGAGAGAGAGAGAGAGCAGGGCUGCUGUGCUCUCAGGAGCACGAGGCCUCCGUGCUCCUGAGGCCCGUUUCUGUGAUGGAAUUUUCGAAUCGCACGAUCGGCUCUGUUAGAUUGAUUAGCGCAGUUUGAAGUUUCUGAAAUAAUAUUUUUUUGCAUUUUUGAUUAUCAUUUACCUAUUGCAUCGAAAGAAUCAAAAUCCAUAUUUUAUGGUUGUAGAUUGCCGUUUUCAAGUUUAAACUUAGAAAAUUUAAUCAGAUGAAUUUGAUUACAAAUAAUUCUUAUAUACUAUCUACAAUCAGAUCAAUAAUUUCUAAUACGAAAAGUUUUAGUGCUAUAUCAACCACUUUUUAUAGGAUUUUAUUUUCAAGCGUAUUGCUUAAAAAAUUAUUAGAUUUUGAAUCCUUCUCGAUUUGCUAGGUAAUGUAUCGAAAUCGCAAAAAUUAUUUUCAAAAACUUCAAAUACGCUUAGAUCAAGUUUUAAUUACGAGCGAUCUCGAUUCGAAAACUCCAUCAUCGAAAGCGGGCUCGAGAGAGAGUAAGAUGAGUAGAUAGAACUUAGGCCUGCUGAAUACUAAUCAAUAGCACCAAAAUUAUGAUGCUAUUAGUUUUUGUCUUUGGAUGAGAAAUUGGUUUAGGAUGAUGUCGCGCCCCAGGGGUUAACGUGUGGUAUGUUGCGUUGAAUAGUAUAAAUUAACGGGUAUAAACAUAUAUCAAUAAGUGUUAAUCUUAACGGUAAAAAACUUGUAGGUACAAAGUCUUGUGCUUCCGAUUAGCAUAGCAGUUGGGAUAUAUUAUAUAAUAUAUAUAUAUAUAUAUAUUUAUAUUUAUAUAUAUAUAUGUAUAAUAUAUAAAUAUAUAUAGUAUAUAUAUAAAUUAGGGGGGUGGAAUAUUAUUAAAAGAGUAAAACGCCUGUUUUGCUAUCAAUUUUUAACCCUUGGAUGAAAAAUGUGAGGUCGGAUGAUAUUAGAUUCGGUUAGAGUUGAAUGUUCCGGCCUCAGUGUUGAGUGUGUCUCACUGGUUAUAGUAUUGAACAAUGAGUUAGAAAUAAUCAAAAGAGUUGAUCAAAGCGGUAAAACUAAUAGCAAUAAUGAGAUUUUGCUACUUAAUAGCUAGCCUACUAGUCCAACUCUAUAUAUAUAUAUAUAUGAUUAUAUAUAUAUGUAUAUAUAUGUAUAUAUGUAGUAUAUAUAUUAAUUAUAUAUGUAUAUAUUUAUGUAUAUAAUGAUGUAUAAAUAUGUAUUGUAUAUAUUACAUAUGUAUAUAAUACAUAAUACAUAAAUAUAUACAGUUACAUAUAUAAUAUCAUAGUUAAUUAUCAAUAUAAUAUAUUAAUAUAUAUAUUAUAUAAUAUGUAUAACACAUAUAUAUAACAUACAUAUAUAUAAUACAUAUAUACAUAACAUAUAUAAAUAUAUAUGAUCAACAUUAUAUUAUACAUCAUUAUAUUCACAUAUAUACAAUAUAUAUACAUAUAUACAUUAUAUACAUAUAAUACAAGAUUAGUAUAUAUUAGAUUAUAUCAUAUAUAUAUAUAUAUAUAUAUAGAUAUUUAUUAGAAUAUGAUAUAUCUAUAUAGUAUUAUAGUACAUAUGUAUGUAUAUGGUAUGUUGUAUAUAUAUUAUGUAUAUAUAUUUAAUAUAUGUAUGCAGCGCUAUAAUACAUAUGAUAUAUGUAUAUAUACAUAAUAUACUAUAUAAUAUAUGAUUAUAUAUAUAUAUUUAUAUUUAUUAUUAUAUUAUAAUAUAUAUAUAUAUAUAUAUAUAUAAAUUAGGGGGGGAUGGAAUCAUUAUUAAAAUAGUAAAACGCUCUUUUUCUUAUCAAUUUUUAACCCUAUGGAUUGAAAAAUUGAGGUCAGAUGAUAUUAGAUCGGUUAGAGUUGAAUGUCCGAAGACCUAGGUUGAGGGUCCUCACUGGGUUAUAGUAUUUAAAAUGGUUAAGAAAUAUAAAAGAGUGAUCCAAAGGUUAAGAACUAAUGCUAAUAUGGAUUUUGUACUUAAUAGUAGCCUAGUCCAACUCUAUAUUAUAUUAUAUAUGAUAUAUAUAUAUAUAUGCUAUUAGUAUGUAAUAUGUAUAUAUAUAUAUAUGUAUUAUAUAUGUAUAUAUGUUAUUCAUAUAUAUUGAUGUAUAUAUAUGUAUGUAUAUAUUACAUAUGUAUAUAUACAAUACAUAUAGUAUACAGUUACAUAUUACAUAUCAUAGUUAAUUAUCAUAUAUAAUUAUAUUAUAUAUAUAUAUAUAUAUAAUAUGUAUUAUACACAUAUAUAUAACAUACAUAUAUAUAAUACAUAUAUACUAUACCAUAUAUAAAUAUAUAUAGAUAACUUUAUAUUACUACAUCUUACUAUUAAUAUAUACAAAUAUAUAUAACAUAUAUAACAUUUAUACAUAUAUACAAUGUUAUUAUAUAUAUUAUAUUAUAUAUAUAUAUAUAUAUAUAUAUAUAUGUAUAUUUAUUAGAAUAUAGAUUAUAAAUUCUGAUAUAUAUGUAUAUGUAUAUAUGUAUGUAUAUUAUGUUGUAUAUAUAUAUACAUAUAUAUAUAUAUAUAUAUAUAUAUAUAUAUAUAUAUUCUUUUUCUUCUCGUCGGAAAGCCAUUGUGUGCUGUGGCCACUUCGAAAAUGUCACGCUCCGGAUUACCACAUUUCUCCGGGCAUGCCCAUAGACCCGCCGUAUACAUUGAAAUUUUCGAUGUAUACGAAGCGAUCGAUGUACUGGUAAUCAAAUCAUAGCUACAACCAGAAGUAUAGAGCUGCUAAACCGAAACAUGUAUAUAUAAAACAUAAAGGAGUUUCUGUACAUACAAAAGUCCACGACACAACUCGCUCCAGUGAGUACAACGACAACAUGAUAGUAUGUACACAAAAGCCUCAAAACUAUCUCUAACUCGCGACUCCCUUUCCACGGUCCAAGUCAGCAACAGCAGCAGCCGCAGACGAAGAUUCUGCAAAAGGUGUCAACAAUAGGGUGUAAGAACUACUAUAAAACAAGUAGUACUCAGUGGGUACCGCCACCGACCUUAACGGCCUACCCACUAAGUCUACAGAAAUAUGUGCAAAGGAUAGUAAGGAAAGCUGGAAGGAAAUCUACAGCUACAUGCCACUAUACUAUCGCUAAUCCACACAGGCUAUCUGUAAAUCUGACAAUGCAUCACACUAACCCAAUCUUACUAGGGACCGCGAUACGCCCGUCCCGCCUGUCUAAGCUACACCAUACACCACCACGAGGGCGGCCGAUGGAGAACGAGGUCCAAACCGGACUCCUCCGACAUCAACGCAAAGCAAGAUAGCCAGACUUCGGAGCGGCACUCGUGGGCGCGAUUCAACCGAGUAUGCAAACGUGUCUCUACUGAGCUCAAUCAGGCUCUCACGGGCUGUAGUCAAUUCAAAUAGGUCUAACUGGUCUAACAACCACAGUUCACGUGCCCUUAGCACAAUUUGAUGCAAGAUACAAAAAUCUGGAUUUACCGUCAACCGCGACGGCACCCAACAAUACGAGACAGUUUACACACAACUGCAAAACGAGCUCGGCCUCUCAGCACAAACGUAAAAUCAACCUACACUAAUCUGGGUAUCCACCUCACACUAAUAGCGGUGAUACAAAAAUAAACACAGCUCUUAAAGGUAAAUCUGAUAACUUUUCAAAAAAUGACAGUGUAGGAUUUAAUGGUUUUCUCCUAAGCCAAUUUUAAGUCCAACAUGUAAAACGAUUCUAAAAUUUAAGGCUCUAAACUCAGAUUUCAUAAAAGCUAUGUAAAUCGAUGAAUUGAGCUACUAUACAUGAUACUACACAAAACAUAUAUGCUGACAAAAUCUUGACUUAGGAGAAAUUCGACGAUUUCGGUAAAUAUUAACACACCUCGAGCGCUCGUCCAACGUCGGUUAGAAGUCGAUAAGAGGGAACCCACGCGCUCUCCCGACCUCCAACGACGUAACUGCGACACUCACGCGUACGAACGGUCCUCCGGAGCAACGUCGAAAUCCACCCGACCUCGAGCCGCGACCUCCACAACGUACAGUGCCCACCAACGAGAGAGAGAAAGGAAAAGAAGUAGAAUUUUCUUCUCUAAAGCCCUCUCUGAAAACAUAUAAGAUUGGGUAACGUUGGGUUGAACGACACAUCAAAGGACCAAACUACCCCUCACCAACUCAAAAAUACAGUUAGAGUACCGGUACUCCACUAGAAUACCGGUACUCAGCCUCUCAACCUGCGGUCUCGCACACUGGGUAUCGGUACCAACCCGAUGCAGUACCGGUAUCCGAGCUUGGUACCGGUACUCAACAACAGGUACCGGUACUCAGUAGUAGAUUUACGCAAACCCGAGAACAUCCAGUUCUGCUAACACACUGGGGUAUCGAUAUUUCUCCCUAGGUACCGGUACUCAACAUUGAAAUCUGCACUUUGUUGAUUUCAGUGUCAGAACUCCACUCUCGUAUCGCGCUGAGUCCGUUUUGCGUCCAUUUCGCGCCAAAACGACUCCGACUUGUCCCGGCACUUUCCCGACGUGUUGACAAGCCUCAGAUGCUGAAACCACACAUGUCGCUAAAUACCAGGGACACUAUAGAAAAUAGCCAAAAUACAGAGAAGGAAGAAAAUGCAAAAGUUAUACCAUUUAAAACUAAGUUGUACUAUUUGAGAUUAAAUUGCACUAUCUUUACUUUGUACAUGAAAGCAUUCAACUAAGUAUACUAAACCGUACACAUUAGCGCAGAGUAUACAUGUAUACAAGAUAUACAAUCCUAAUCACGCUCCUAAUUUUCCAUUGGGUAAGCUUAUGCGUAGCAACCCGUAAGCACCAUCAAAGACUCGGCUCCAUUCCUGACUCAAUUAAUAAUAUAAUACAAGUCAAUCCCUAACAAAUUAACUUUCAAUCUCUAUCUCCAUCUAAUUAAUAGGAUUUAGUCUUCAACCACUGCAACAAAUAUCAUUUUUAGUAGCUAUCGGAAAUUUUGAAAUUGCUGGCAAAAAAUCUUUUCCAAUAAAAAUUUCAAAGUAACCGCCAUCUUGAGAUUGUCUCUUUCACUUGACGAUUGUACCUAAUACACGGCUAAAAGUUUAAUGAUUGACAUCUGAGAUCUCAAGUUCGAAACCUAAUUGUUUCACAUUUUUAUAUUAGUUUCAUAAAACAAUAAUAAUGGUAAACGAUGUGAAUAGUUUUCUACCUUAUUCUCAAUAAAAAGAAUUUUCUCUUUCACUUGAUGAUACUGUUAAGGCUCCACCUUGCCUCCAAUUUUAGAACCUAUAACUGUUUCCACUUCUUUUGGAUUGGCGCUCGUAGCCAUUUUCAAAUAAAAAAAUUAGUCCAUAUAUAUAUAAAGAGUAGAGUUGCUAUACUAUCAGAAGAAUAGAGGAUCUAGUGUCUCCGACUUUUUGGCCAUUAGAUCAGCCCCUUUAAUCAUUUCUAACUUUUGGAUUAAUAUUAUUAUCCUGUUGGGAUACUACUCAACCCUAUGGGGGACGGCAAUCAUCACAACCGUAUAAUUUUUAAUUUAAGGGUCAAAAAAUUAAAAGUAUCAAAUCUUCUAUAAUUCUAAUAGUAUAGUAGCUCUACACUAUAUAUAUUUACAUACAUGCAUUACGUGCACAACUCAUCUCGCUAUCCCAAGUUUCAAUCUCAUCGUCUACUAAUUAUGUCAUCAUCUACUAAUUAUAGUUGUUUUUACUAUUUAAAAGUUAGAGGAUUAGAGGAGAAGUAUGGGACGGAACAGAGCACUCGUAGAAACAAAGUCUAGAAUGCAAUAAUUAUGUAAUGACGUGGUACCCCAAAUCAAAUAAAAAUCUUUUUUGAGGUUUACCUAUUCCAUCAUAAUUUUUAGAAAAAUAUUUUUAUUGUAUUUUUUUCUCUCGAAAGAAAAAAAAAAGUUUACUGGGAAUAGAUAAUAUUAUAUAAGUGUUACAUAGUAAAAUUUCUCCUCUCGUAGAGGGUGUGGUAUAACAUAUUAGAAUGCACUAGACAUUGGAAAUAAUUUUUGUUUAUUUAUUAAUUAAAAAAACAGUCAUAGCCCCCAAAUUCUAACAUGCUUUAAAUAGAAAGAUAUUGUACUCACAUUUUUAUUUUAUUUUCUCUCUAAAUUAAAUCCUACUUAGGCUUAGUUUGGUAUUGAGAUUUAUCUAACACUAUUAGAUAAAAUAAAGUUGAGGAAAAAGCAUAUAGGGAUAUGCUUCUACAUUCUCAGAUGAAACCGCAGAAAAUAUAUCGUAACCUAUUCAUCACGAUAUGCGGAACGCAAUAUUACGUACGAAAACAAACAGGGUAUUUUUCCAACGUACUUUCUCACCGCACGUGAUGCAAUUUUCUCGCAAUCCCAAAUAAAGCCUUAGUCCAAACUCUUCCAACACACUUUAAACACUUUGAAAUUCUUGCUUUUGAGCUUAUUCUUUCAAAUGACUUAUCUUUUACUCUUCCGAAAUUAUUUUUUUUAAAAUGGUUUCACCAGCUACGUACUCCUCGUCCGGAGUGCGUUUACGUGGCAUGGGUCUUAUAUGUUCCUUGCUAGAUAAGCCUAAGGGUGCGUUUGGUUCGCAUUAUAAAAGAUUACUAUAAAUAAAAGAUAUUCGAAAAUUUUAUUCCUAUUCAUCCUAUUACUAAGAAUGUGGAAUUCCUGUGUUUGGUUCGUACGGUAAUAUUAAUUAGCCAUGUUAUUUAAUAUUACAAAAAAUAUACAAUUAAUUUAUUUAUUUUUAAAUAAUGUUACCAAAAAGUUUCAACAUCUUUUUAGAAAAAAGGGAGAGAGAAUAAGUUAGAGAGAGGAGCAUAAUUAAAAAAAUAGAAAAAAAAUAUAUAAUCGAAAUUAGAGGGAGUGAGAGAGUUGAAAUUUUAAAAAGAGAGAGAGAGAGAAAGCUUAGUUUAGAGAGAGAAAAAAGAGUUAAAUUUUAGAGAAAAAAAUAAGUUUAGAGAGAGAUAUAAGGUUAGAGUGUAAAGAAAAAUAAUAUCAAUUAACCGGCGGGUAGGAAGAAAGAAAGAGAUUAGACAUAUUAUGAUUACCCUAAUCCAUUAAUAUGAGGAUAUCUUAUUCCCAAGUGAAUCUAAUAUUACCAACUAGAUUACUUAGUACGUUUAGCCAAACACCGUCAUAUUUUUUUAUUCCCAUUGGAUUAUUAGAAAUCUUUAAAAGAUAGCGCGAAUCAAACGCACCCUAAGUGGGAGAAUAUUGGACGUUGGUUUCACAAUUCAAAUUUGCCCAAUUUAAAACUACAUGGGAUUAAUUAGUGAGAUUGAAGAGAGAUUAGUACAAACGUGGGAUUUUCAGUGCUAUUUGUCGGAUCCAAAGAAGUAAAUAUUAAAUUGAAUAUACCGAGCAAUCACUUGAAUUUUAAAUAUACAUCUGUAGGCAUCAGAUACCACUUCUGAUUUUAUUGGUGUUAGGCAUGAUAUAUAUUUUUCCAACACUCCCCACUAUUUCGACCGUACUAAAUUCUCUAGCUAGAUCAAGCGCUCCAUUUUUUCAGUAAGGUCGUAAAAAUUUCUUCUUUUUUCAAAGUGUGCGAUUUGCAUGGCACAUUAUAUAAAUGAAAAGGAGCCCGAAUUAAACCCAUGUUUCCAACAACUUCCUCGAUCCCCCGCCGCCUCGAAGUUGGCAUUAUAUAAAUAGCUUCCGGAGUAAUUUUCUAUUAGAUCGACCAUUUGGUUUACAUAGUAUUCAGAGUCAAUUCUAAAUCCGUCAUGCAUGUCAAUGUCAAAUAUAUUCCUUUACCAUUUCGUGCUAGAUCGAUUCUUUAUUAGUUAGCAAUUGCCAUGUAGGUUCCAUUGGCUCAUAUAUAGAUAUUUUUCAAACCAUAGGAGGAGAAAACUCGGGUUAAGCCAACGCUGACCUAUUAAUAUAUAUGCUGCAGCUUCAUAUUUUGAAUGGAAUUUUCACUGGGAUCCCAGAUUUGAAGACAAUUUAGUCUUGUAGACAAAUUAAACACUCCGCAAAAAUUUCAGAUUGUUUUUUUUUUGAGAGAUAGGUAGCAUGCUACCCGCUUCGUUUAUUUCAUUUAGAAAUAAACUUAGUUGGAAAUGUGAAUCAACAAGGAUUCGAACUUGAGUCUCGGGUACCAACCACCAAGCCCUUUGCCAUUUGCUCUAGGGAUGGUCGGUAUAAAUUUCAGAUUGUUGGAAACAGUUGUAGUAUAAGAUCGAUCAACCUGCUGAAACAUCGGC
Molecule: long non-coding RNA, 58746 nt
Filed under: Ananas comosus (pineapple)
Lineage: Eukaryota; Viridiplantae; Streptophyta; Magnoliopsida; Poales; Bromeliaceae
Description: long non-coding RNA (ACOM_LNC026956)
Source: RNAcentral